RNAcentral lists this long non-coding RNA (58065 nucleotides) under Ananas comosus (pineapple). RNAcentral describes it as "long non-coding RNA (ACOM_LNC013843)". Lineage: Eukaryota; Viridiplantae; Streptophyta; Magnoliopsida; Poales; Bromeliaceae. The record is from RNAcentral.
UAAAUUUAUCUGCGUACCGUAUGCUCGUCGAAACAGCAGGGAGGAAACAUAAGGAUAUUUGUCAUGAUUUACUGUGUAAUAAUGCAGGAGCGAUCGCAUGAGUGGUUCUUUUAUGGUUGUAAUUAUUUUAGCAAUUAGGUGUUCGGUUAUUCUUAAUAAAAUUAGAGUCGUGAAACUAGCUCCAUUCGAAGGCACCUCAAAACAUGAACACGCCAAUGCACACGCGCAUACGCACACAAAGCAAACAUUGCGCCUUUUUAAGCGUCCUUUUAAGAGUCCAGUAUAAGAUGUUCCAAAAUCCAAGUAUAGUAGUAGUACUUACCAGUGGAAAGAGAAGAAUGGUAGCUAGUACUUUGUAUUGAUGACUUUCUUAUGUAAGAUGUUAAGAAAUAUGACAUAGAUGAGGUCUGCCAUGACAUAGAUCUGCUGUUAUUUUCAAUUUCGUUGGUUGUCUAAAUCACUUCAUCAGUAGUUAGGUUUGUAUUUUUUCUGAAUACUUUGCAAACCAGUUAGUCUAUGAUUUCGAAUUCUUCUUUCUGAUUAAAUGUGCAUAUUUCUGACCUUAUGUUUGUUGGUUUUGUUAAAAUUUGCAUCUUCGUAUUUCCUUCGCUAAAUUGACAUUUCUUACUAGUUGCAUGGUUUUUUUUUUUCCCCUAAACACUAACAGCACAGCACACGAUGCUUAUGCUUUACUGAAAUUGGUCGCAAAGUUUUUUCUUUCGCACUUUAUCUAUUAUGUUUUUUAUUGCAAAGCUCAUUUUGUGUAGAUUAGUUUUAAGGUUCUUAAUUCCUUAUAAAAGUUGCGAGUAUGAUUUUCCUCGUACUUCUUCUUCUUUUUUCUUUUUUCUUUUUUUUUUUUGAACUUAUAUAUUAGCUGCUUUACGGACAUCUGACACUUUUUAUUAUCUCAUGUGAACAAGACAUGGUCAAUAACUCAACAUUUACUUUUCUCUGUCCUCGUGAAAUAUGCGAAUGGCAUGAGUUUGUACAGCAAUAAGUUGCUCAUCACUAAUUAAUAUCGUAUGAAAGUAUAUAUAGUCCUUUAAGUGGUCUGUAUAACUUUUUGUGCUCAUUAAUAUGUAUGAGAGAGUAAUAAUUCAUACUAGUGUAGGUGCCCGCGCGUCGGCAACCGAUCAUUUCUAUAGAAAUAAAUCAAUAUAUAUAAUAAUUAAUGAAAAUGAUAUCAUAAUUGACUUUCAUUCGUUAAAAUACGUGAAAAAGUCGAAAAGUAGUUACAAUGCAUAAAAUGAUAGCGGAAAGCUCUACUCUAUGUUUAGUUAAACAUGUGGGUCUAAAGAUAUAUUUAUCAUAGUAAUGAAAGAAUAAUAUGAUCAACAAAUACAAAAAGACUUAGAAUUAACUUACUAAUUCCUAUACAUUAUAAUUUACAAACACUCUUUCACUACUAAAUCUUAUAUCUUUAAUGCCCCUUCUUCGAAUAUUUAUAGGGCUUUCAUUAAUUGGCUGUAUCGUCAGAAAUCUUUCUCUUAAUAUAUUAUAGCUCUUAACGCACUGAAAUCCAACAAAAUAAAAAAAAUAACAAAAUUAGAAUAGAUAAGAAAUUUAAUUGAAAAUGUAAAUUACUUAAGAAUAGAAUAAUCACAAAUGCACUUGUCAUUAUGAUGUUAUGAGAUGAAAUAUAUCUAAGUCGCUGAAUAGUAGAUAGAGCAAAAAUCUACAAUGAAAAAUAACAAAGCAAGAAUAACGGAGCAGUAAGCAAAAAUAAGUAGAUAAAAAAAAAAAGAUUCACUGAAUAUGAGCUAGGAUAAUUAGAUUUUCAUCGGUAUUUUUGCACUAAAUACACCAAUUUUAUUCUUGCAAAUCAAUAGUUUGUGAACAAUUAAUAGAAGCAAGAGUUGUCCAUCAUUGCUCAUUUCUUUAUACACACUUAUUAACUGGAAAUUAUUAUUCCAGUGAACCUCCGCCCUUCCUUUUGGUGAAUAAGACCCAUAUUUAAGGCAAAUAGACUAUUGAACUCCAUAUGUAACAUGAAAGCAUAGUAUUAAGUAUAAUCAACAUAGCCAAACUCAGAGAAAUACAAAAAAUCUUUAGAAGAAAUGUCCAACAAAACUUAAUAGGACUUAUAUUUAUGGCAAUUGAGAGACUAACUUAAUUUAAAAAGCAAAAGGAAGCACAUGCUGAGAAAAUUAACUUGGUUAACUUGGCAUAUAUAAAUUCAGAGUACAUUGAUGGAACUAAAAAAGUAAAACUAUCAAAAAACUUAAAACUAAAAUUGCACAUUGUUAGUUAAAAAAAGCUAUAUUGACCUAUUUAUGUAAUUUAAAUGGCAAAAUGCUUAUAAAUUGAAAAUUGAUGAUUAGAAAUGGACUAAUUAUGGAUUACUUUAUUAGCUUGUUUCUUGCCUCUCAACCAACCUCCAAAUGUUGUCUAAAUUGUGAAACCCUCAUAUUCAUUGUCGCUUCCAUUUCAUCAUUGUUGGGCUUUCUAAGCAGAUCUUUGUGCAAGCUCUCAUUCAUCUUAUAAAUUGCCUAUAUUUUAAUGACAUAAAGGAUAUAAAAAAGUCGAUAAUUUGCAAAUAAGCAGUUAAAAAGGUUUUUAAAUUGCGAGUAUGUCUAAUAAAAAUAUAAACUCUUGAAUAGUAAAAUCUCUGUUAAGAAUAACAUUGUAGACAAUAGAGAGAAAAAAAACACGAUCCAUAUUAUUCUCACCUAAAGUGAGAUAUACAAAGUACUCGAUAUAUAUAUUGUUUAAGGAAGAAGAUAAGGCAAUUACAAAGUUAUCAGUGAUCUAAUUUGCCAUUCCAUUAGGAUUUGAGUGAUCUCAUUACAGCUAUAUUACUCAACAAGGAGUAACAAUGUUGGAUUUAUUUUCCACAAUCAAAAUUCUAAGUCUAAACAGAUGUACUAAAACUGUUAUCGACCGGUCUUUUAGCUAACAUGAUAUCUAAGUACUGUUAGUUCCCACCACAUAUAUUUGCUAAUUUACUAUAUUCAGAUCCUUUAAUUCUUCCAUUGCCUUCUGUGACAUCUACAUUGUCUAUGCCUUUGGCAUGGUAUAUAAGAAAAAUAAGCAACCAAAUUUAGUAAAUUUAAUAGAAUGAGAAGUUUGGAGCGGAUAGUCAUGUACAGAUCAAACAACUACAUAGCAACAAUCUUCCCAAGGAGAGAUUGAUUCAGAACUAAGUUGUCUUAUUUUUAAGGAAACAACUGAUUCAAUGAUGCAUUGUUUUUUUUGGAUUAUAAAAAGGCUUCAAAUCUGUACAUGGACUGCAAUAGAAUCCUAGCAGUACAACAAAUUAACUUAAUAAAAGUAUGUUCACCUUCAACCCUGGAUAAUUCUCAUUUGUUGUGUACAUAAAUUUGUGGCACCACAUGUAGAAACUAAAUACUUCCGAAAUUUUUUUUUUUCACAUGAAUCCAGUAACUGGACAAUUCUCAUUUGUUGCAUACAUAACCUUACGAUAGCACUUAUAGAAAUCAAAUACUCCCAAAAAAAAUUUUCUCAUAUCAAUUUAGUAAUUCUUCUGCAGUAAACAAUAAUAUGACAUUUCAACUGAUCCACAAAACUUAAAAUAAAAUACUAAAUCCAUAUCUCCUAAGUUCACAAAAACUAUAAUUUAUGAACUAUAAGAAUGACUUGAAAUGGAAAGAAAUAGAGAAUAAAUGUUAAAUAAGGCCGAAAUUAUAUGUGAUUACACUUUCCUAAAUUAGAUUAUGUAAUUAGGGACUUGAUUUAUGUAACGGCUUGAUUUUAGGGAUGCCUUAGAAUCAAAGUCUAUAUAUAUCCUUGUACCUAAGUUUUUAAAUGAAUAAUAAAAAAAAUGGUACAGUUACUACAUAUAUUGUAACAUGGUAUCAGAGACAAGUUGAACCUGUGCAAAUCUAAAAAAAAAAAAAAAAAAAAUCGACGUCGCCUGCGUCGCCGCCGUCCUCUGACUACUCCGGUCGCUACUGCUCACCAUUGCUUGCCGCUCAGAUCUAUUCAUUGGCUGAUCAAACCGCUUUCGUCGCCGAGAACAAGACCAACCUCAGAUCUAGAUCUGAAACCAAACUUAGAUCUGCCCAGCCAUUUGAAGUCACCGUCAACCUCAUCCUUUUGCCCCUGCUGCUGUCACCAAUCCAACACCGCUCCAUCAACCAUAGCAGUGAUUUUUUCCUCUCAGGUAGCUUCCAAACCUUAAGAAUGCACGAGGUUGAUUCUUCUUCGUAAAGAGAAGAGUUCAAUCAUGUAGAAAUUUGAAGUAUAAUAAAAGAAGAGAGACAAAGAUAUACGUGGUUCGGCCUAUAGCCUACAUCCACGGAGAAGGUAACGACUCUUAUUCUCAUAUCAUGCAUAUGCAAGGUUCACCCUUUAUUUAUACAAAUCAUAGAGAUCUCAAACUAAGGAAAUAAUUUUAAAUAAAAGGAAGUGUAUAUUAGAAAUCAAUCAGUGGUGCCAAAUAGGAAGUGAAUAUCAAUCCUAUUUGGCAACUUAUUUCCAUCACUCCCCCUCAAGUUGGUGCGUAAAUGUCAAUGGAGCCCAACUUGGACAAAAUUUAGUGAAAACGACAUUUAUUCACAGCUUUCGUAAAGAUAUCGGCUAGUUGAUCUUCGCUCCGAACAUAUGGAGUGCUAAUGAUCUUGGACUGUACCAUCUCACGGACAAAAUGGCAAUCAACUUCAAUGUGUUUCGUUCUUUCAUGAAAUACUGGAUUGGAUGCAAUGUGAAUAGCUGCUUGAUUAUCACAGAACAUAGUCAUCGGCUCUUUUGUUUUAAAGCUCAUGUCUUGAAGCAGUGCCUUCAACCACACUAACUCACUUGAAGUGGAUGCCAUAGAUCUAUAUUCAGCCUCAGCACUUGAUCUUGCAACUACAUUCUGUUUUUUACUCUUCCAAGUUACCAAAUUACCUCCUACUAGAGUACAGUAUCCUGUUGUAGACCUUCUAUCAGUCGGAUUUCCAGCCCAGUCAGCAUCAAUAAACCCACUUAUUUCUAUGUGACCUGCCUUUUUCAUCCAAAUUCCUCUACCUGGUGAUGUUUUAAGGUACCUGAGAAUCCUAUCAACAGCUUGCAUAUGACUAGUUAAUGGAUUAUGCAUAUAUUGACUUACCAAGCUAACAGCAUAUGUUAUAUCAGGUCUGGUGAUUGUCAAAUAAAUCAAUUUUCCUGCCAAUUGCUGAAAACGAGUUACAUCUUUGAGGGGUUUUCCUUCCACAAAAUCAAAUUUAUAGUUGCAACCAAUAGGGGUAUCAACUGGUUUCACUGCAAGUUUCCCUGUUUCCUUGAGUAAGUCCAAAGUAUAUUUUCUUUGGCAAAUAAAUAAACUUUUAUUUGAAUAGGCAAUUUCAAUUCCAAGAAAAUAUUUGAGUUUUCCAAGAUCCUUGAUAUCAAAUGUCAUUUUAAGAUAACUUUUGAGUUUUGAAAUCCCUUCGAAGUUGCUACCCAUAAAAACAAUAUCAUCAACAUAAAUCAAAACAAUUAUGAUACUGGUGUUAUCCGUCUUAACAAACAUAGAGGAAUCAGCAACACUUCGUUUAAAGCCGACUUGAGUAAGAGCUGAACUAAGUUUUGCAUACCAUGCGCGUGGGGAUUGUUUGAGACCAUAUAUAGCUUUAUUCAAUUUACAAACAAGAUUUUUUUGGUGUUGACUUUCAUGACCUGGAGGAAGAUCCAUAUAAACUUGUUCCUCAAGAUUUCCAUGCAAGAAGGCAUUCUUAACGUCCAUUUGAAAAAGCGGCCAGUCGUGAUUCACGGCAACAGAAAGAAGAACUCGAACAGUGCUCAUUUUGGCUACUGGAGCACAGGUUUCUUUGUAAUCAACUCCAUAAGUUUGAGUAAACCCUUUAGCUACUAAUCUUGCCUUAUGUCUUUCAAUUGAUCCAUCACUAUUGUAUUUAAUUUUAUAAACCCAUCUACAUCCUAUGGCCUUUUUUCCAAUAGGUAACUCGACCAAGUCCCAAGUAUGGUUUUUCUUCAGUGCACGAAGUUCUUCUUUCAUUGCUUUUUUCCACACUGGUUGGGAGUUAGCAUCUUGAAAACUAGUUGGUUCCAUAUUAUUAGAAAUGGAACUAAGAAAGGCUGAACAACUGGAAGAAAUUUUGUCAUAAAGAAUGUGAUUUUGUAGAGGAUAGGAAGAAGCAUGAUAGGUAUAAAAACCUUGCAAUCUAGAUGAAGGGCGAGGAAUUUGAGAUGACCUAUGAACAUUGGAGAUCUGUUGGACUUGUUCAGACUGAGUGGCAAUGUCAGUAGGGCCUUUGUCAUCAUCUUCGACAUUAUUCUGGCCUUCGACGCCUUGAACUUCAUGUUGUUUCUCAUUGCUGAUUUGUACUUCACUAAUUCUUGUAUUUGAUCCAUCAUAAGGUAAUGGUGUGAUCCCGGCUUCUUUGUAAUUCUCCCCCUGAAUGCUAUUCUCUCUGUUCUCAUUAAAAUAAGCUUGAUUUUCAGAAAAAACAACAUCUCUUGAAACAAACAAUCUUUUCUUUGCUGGAUCAUAACAUUUAUAACCUUUUUUUGUAGAGGAAUAACCAAGAAUUAAAUAAGCAUUUAAUAGCACGUUUGUCAAGCUUAUCUCUAUUUUGCUCAUUAAUGUGAACAUAGCAUACACAUCCAAAAAUGCGUAAAUGAUUCAGGUCAAUAUUCCUUCCCUUCAAGAUCUAAAGAGGAGAUUCAUUAUUAAGCACUUUACUUGGUAACCUAUUAAUUAGGUAACAAGCUGUGAGUAUAGCGUCAGACCAAUAAGUUUUAGGAACAUGCAUUUGAAACAUUAAGCAUCUUGUAACAUCUAGUAAGUGUAUAUUUUUCCUUUCAGCAAUCCCGUUCUGUUGAGGUGUACCGACACAAGUCGUUUGAUGUAUAAUCCCAAGAUUAGAGAGAUGUUCACAGAAACAUUUGUUAUAAUACUCUUUUCCAUUAUUAGUUCUCAAAACUUUAACCUUUGCAUUAUAUUGAUUUGAAAUCAUAUUAAGAAAAUCUUUAAAGGCAGUAAAAACUUUAGUUUUGUGCUUCAACAAAUAAAUCCAAGUACACCGAGAAUUAUCAUCAAUGAAACUGACAAAGUAUCGAAAACCAUCACGAGAAUCAAUAGGUGCAGGACCCCAUACAUCGGAAUGCAUUAAACUAAAGAGUUCAUCAGAUUUUUUCAUAAACAGUUGAAACGGCAGUCUAGUUUGUUUAGAAAAUUGACAAACAUCACAAGCAUCAGAAUUAGAAGAUAUAGAAGGUAUCAAAAUACUUAAAACUUUGUCAGAAGGAUGACCCAUUCUACUGUGCCAUAAGCUGAAAUUUUCAUGCAGUCCUUUUUUUGCUACCAAAACUUUACUCUUUUGAUCAAACAAAUAAAGGCCUUGGUGGAAUUUUCCUUCACCAAUCUUCUUCCCCGUGGUUCUGUCCUGAAAAAUUACCGAAUAAGGUAUGAAGGUAACAUUGCAAUUUAGAUCUUGGGUAAGUUUACGAAUAGAGAGUAAAUUGGAUGGAAAAGAUGGCAUGAAAAGAACAUCUGAUUUGUGAGAUUCAGAAAAGAAACUAGUCUUUCCAACUCCCUGCACAGGAAUUAAUGAUCCAUUUGCAAUUGAAACAGGAUUUCUGCAGAUGGAAUCUUGGUAGUGUGAUAAGCAAUUCAAAUUACCGGUCAUAUGAUCAGUAGCACCGGAAUCAACGACCCAAGUUGUGUUAUCAGAAAUUAAUGCAAUGGAGUUACCUGAUUCGUUUGCUGCUGUAGAAGAGUUCUAAGUGGAGGGUGAUGUGGAGGACGGUACAGAUUUGCUAAGGUGUUGAAGGAGCUGAGUGAGCUUUUCAACAGAGAUAUGAGUUUCCGAAGAAGCAACUUGAGCUAUUGGUCUAUUAUCAUUAUCUCUACCUUUGCUCUUGUAAGGUUUCAAGUGAGGAUGUAAAACCCAACAUCUGUCUUUAAUAUGACCUAUAGCAUUGCAAUGAUCACAUCUGGGUGGAGGUCUUCCACUUUGCCCUCUGUUUCUACUAGUACCCUUUGCAUCAUUAUGAAAAGGCUUCUUAUACUCAUUCUUUUCUUUCAAGGCAGCAAAAGCACUAGUUUCAGAGAACUCACUUUGAUGCUUUGGUUCUAAAUUCAUAGCCUUUUUUCUAGUCUCUUCACGUUGUAUAAUAGCACAAACACUAUUAAGAGAAGGAAGUUCCAGGCUCAUCAAAAUUUGGCUCUUCUAAGACUCUCAUAUUCCGGUUUUAAAUUAGCAAGAAGUUGAAAAAUCUUUUCCUCCUCAGAACAUUUUUGGAGAGUCUUUAAAUCAGUAAUUAGAGGUUGAUAAAGAUUUAAUUCAUCCCACAUAGCUUUAAGAGUGCCCAGACGCUCAAUAAAAGACUUAUCUCCUUGCUUUGCCCUUGUAAUAUCAUGCUUUAACUCAAAUAUUAGGGAUGCAUUAUUUUGUUGACUAUACAGAGUUUUAACAGAAUCCCAAAGAUCUUUAGCAGUUUCAAAAACGUAAAAAUUUCAGCAAUUCUGGGUUCCAUUGAGUUUAGGAGCCAUGUCAUAACUAAGUGAUUAUUGGAUUGCCAUUCUUCAAAGGAAGGGUCAUCAAUAUUUGGGGGCACCUUUUUGCCAUCAAUAUAUCCAAGUUUUGACUUUCCACCAAGUGCAAUAGAAGCAGCUCGUGACCAAGUUACAUAAUUAAAACCAUUAAGAAGAACAGUGGUGAGUUUCAUACCAGUAUUGGAAUCGGACUCAUGAGAAACAGAUUUUGAGGAAGCCAGAAUAUUGUUAACAUUACCAUCCUCAGCCAUAUGUUAAUACCAAAGAGAUAUAAAGAGGAAGAAUAGUACCAAAUAAAAUAGUGCUUGAAAGAGCCAACACAAUGUUGAAGAUGACUCUCAAAAGCAGAUUUACUGCAAUCUUCUACAGCACCAAAGAAACAAUUGGAUCGAAACACCGCUCUGAUACCAUGUAGAAAUUUGAAGUAUAAUAAAAGAAGAGAGACAAAGAUAUACGUGGUUCGGCCUAUAGCCUACAACCACGGAGAAGGUAGCGACUUUCUCUUAUUCUCAUAUCAUGCAUAUACAAGGUUCACCCUUUAUUUAUACAAAUCAUAGAGAUCUUAAACUAAGGAAACAAUUUUAAAUAAAAGAAAGUGUAUAUUAGAAAUCAAUCAGUGGUGCCAAAUAGGAAGUGAAUAUUAAUCCUAUUUGGCAACUUAUUUCCAUUACUCUUAUUUCCAUCAAUGUUGCUUAAAAAAAAAAAUGAGUGAAGAAAAUCUUGAAUCGGCUAAGAUUAAAUCCGUUCCAGUUGUAAUUCAGUCCGAAGGCGUUUUUAAUGCCGGAAUCAUCCUAACUGAAUCAAAUUACGAUAUAUGGUCUCAACUGAUGGAAAUACAAAUUGCCAAAAGAGACAAGAUCUCAUAUAUUCGUGGCAAGACCAAGCCACCUGCAAAAUCUGAUGAAGGCUAUGAAAAAUGGUAUGCUGAGAAUCAAAAGGUCAAACAGUGGCUAUUAAUGUCUAUGUCUCCCGAUAUUAUGAGGCGUUAUUUACGCUUACCUACAGCCCACAUCAUCUUGACUGCCUUGUCCACGGCAUUCUAUGAUGGAAGUGAUGAGUUGCAGGUCUUUACUCUGAAUCAAAAGGCUUUUUCUGCAAGACAAAAUGGGCAAAUCCUCUCUGUGUAUUAUGGAGAAUUAACAGAACUCUUCCAAGAGUUGGACCAUCGUGAUAAGGUGGUUAUGAAAGAUUUUGAUGAUGUCAAAACUUACCGCCAAUCUAUUGAACGAUUAAGAGUUCAUAUUUUUCUUGCUGGAUUAGAUGAUGCCUUUGAUUCAAUCUGACGUGAGAUUUUGCGAAAAGACCUAGUACCAAACUUGGAGGAAUGUUACUCAUUAGUUCGACGGGAAGAAGUACGGAGUAUCACCUUGAAAGGUGAUUCUAGAGCAUCUGAACCUAGUGCCAUGGUGGCUCGGAAUCGACCUAGUCAGGGUCAACAACCUCGAGCACAACCUAACACUGGUAGAUGGACCAAAUAUGUUGACAGGUCUUCAUACAAGUGCACUCCUUGUCAUAAGACUGGCCAUACCAAAAGUGGCUGUUUUGAACUGGUGGGCUAUCCAGAAUGGUGGGAUCCUAGUUGCGCGAAGAAAAAUCACCAAAAACCUUCCACUGCAGCAGUUGCCAAAACAAAAAUGGAGGAUGAAAUCACUCACAACGCCUCGGCAUUGGUAAUUGCUGCAGACAAUGGUGGUAAGGUUUUAAAUAUUUUAACACCUGUUUUGAAUAAUGCAUGGAUAAUUGAUUCUGGUCCAACAGAUCACAUGACAUAUGAUUCUAGGCAAGUGUAACGUAUCGAAACCUCGAUAGCGAUUAUCGAACUUUAGCCAAAUUAGUUAAAGUGCCGAGAGAAAUGGAUAGACAAAGUCCGGUUGACAUUCCAACAAUGUUCGAAGGGUCAAAGUCGACUCCCGAGAGUGUUAAGCAAGUUUUAGCAUUGCUCGGCGCGAUUUAAAAGUGAACAAUGCGAAAGAAAUAGUUGGGUAUGUUCCAUUAAGCGUUCCAACAAUGUUGGAAGGGUUAAAAAGGAAUUUUAAAAGAGUUAAAAGGGUUUUAGCAUCGACCGGCGCGAAAUAGAAUCGAAAACGGCGCAAAACCAACAUUCUGGGUAAAGUGUACCGGUACAACCAUCGAGUUGUCACCGGUACAGCCUUGCAGACCGAGAAGAUUUUGCUCUCGGGUUUGAGUUUUGGCAGAAAUGUAUCGGUACACCGUUGGUGUGUACCGGUACACUGUGGUAAAAUUCGUGGAGGCUGCUCUUGGGUUUGCCUCUGCGUAAUCGUGUUACCUGUGACAGAGUCUCGUGUACCGGUACACUUUGGUCUGGCAACAACAAUAAGGUCUGUUGCAAAUAGGAAUAUUUGGGGGGGUUAGUUGCAAUUGUAGCAUACCAUAUAUACCCCCAAACACCUCCCUCACAGCAGCAGCCCCUUCUCUCCUCUCCACUUCAUUUUCCUCUCUCUCUCUCUAGAGAUUGUGCCCUAGAGCAAGGAGGAGAAGGCUUGGAAGGCAUUGAAGGUGGAUUUUGGAGGUUUUGGUGGUUCUAGAAGCUCUCCAACAAGGAGGACUCGGCAGAGCUUGGGACUAGAGGUAAGUUCUUGCAAGAUUACUUCUAGGGUUUGGUUUUAAAUCCUAAGUUUUAGAGUUUUGAGCUUCUUAGAGGCUUUAAAAACCCUUUAGGGCCAUGAACACCAUGAAACCCAUGGGAGCUUCAUGUGCUCUAAUGGUGAACACCUAGGGUUUAAAGUAGAUGCUCUAGGGAUGCUUGGAAUGGCUUUGUGAUGAUAUUAGAAUGCUUCCUAGUUGAUUCUAAGCUAGCUUUUGCUUAGGAAUGAGAUCAAUCUAGGAGAAAACCCUAUAUGACAUUGUCAGGGCAUAGAAUUUGGGGCUUUUGCCCUAGGGAGUUUCUAAGACAAAUUGACCUUGUAGAAACCUAAUUGGGGGUAUUUCCGACACGUUGGGCAACUCGGUUCGACAUUACGAAAAGGUCUAGAUAAAGUUAUUGAGAAAAAGCCAAAUUUGGCAUCGUUUUGCCGCAGACGAAAAAGUAGAUCUUCAAAAAUUCUAAGAAAUUCACCGUAGCACCUUUGCAACCAUACAAGAUAGGUGGUGCAUACCGAAGACCUCAAAAUUCCUUUUAUGUCUAAAGUAUCAUAUUUGAGCAUUUGUAUGUAUUGAGCAUAUUGCAUAGUAGGGUUAUUGUGAGCUUCUUAUUGCAUAUUGUGAGUUCAAAUGCGUGUGAAAUACAAGUGAGAAUCUAUAAACCCUAUGUAUGCAUGAAAAAUGACAAGAACUUAGUGGAUUAGAGAACAAGUGUGACAUGUUGACAUAAAGAUAGUGAGUGACAUUGAAGAGCCAAGAAUACUAGAGUUGAACACCUAGAAAACAAGUGUGACAUGAGCAAAUGAGUACCAAGAACAAGGUAGUGUGUAUGACACUAGUGUAAGUCAAAGAAUGCAAGUGAAAAAAGAAAGUAACAUUGUGACAUUAUGACAUAGCAACCUUAGAGUUAAGGGUCAUAUGUACAUUGUUUCCUUAUAGUUAAGGAAUGGAUUGAACUUGACAUCCUUAUAGUUAAGGAUUGGAUCAUACUUACCUGUAAGUCCUUGCUCCAGGGUAGUAGCUCCCCUUCGGGCGAUGUGCUCCAGAGUUGUCAUCACUGGGUCGUAGUAGUCUCCCCAGAGGACGGUCCCGUCGAGUGUAGUAGUUUUCCCGAUACUUGGGAUUUGAGUUGGUGAGUCUAUUGAGGGCGAAACCUACGGGCUAGCCAAGAGAUUGGGUAAUGAAACUAUGAUCUUGCAUUCAUCAUUAGUAUUCUAUCGAGCAUCGCAUUACUUAUUGUUCAGGCAUAUUAGCUGCAUUUGUUUAGUUAGUUACUAUCUAUCUGUUCUUCUAUUAUGCCUGAUUUAGACCUAGUGGGAAAGUCGGCGUGGUUGGUUGCCGAACCCACUGGAAACUUUAUUGUAGUUCUAACCCCACUAUUUCCACAGAGCCUGAAUUGAGCGAGCCGGCAGAUGAUCUUGGUAAGGGUAUCGCACCCUAGAUAGUGACCGCCCGAGAUAUUUUACAUUUUGUAGUUGCAUACCCCGUUUAUAUAUAUAUCAUCUUUUGUACUUUGAUGAUGAUUAGGGAUGUUAGAGCGAAUGUAUUAAAGAUACCUUAUGAUGUUAAAUGCAAAGGUUUAUUUUGGAGAUUUGAGAUGUAUAAAAGAAAUGAUGCAAAGAUUGUAAAAGUACUUCGAAGUUGAAUACAUGUAUGUGAUUAAUUUAAUAAUAGUACUUGUAUGUUGAUUAGUUAGUACUUUCACUUUGGCUAUUGCUUGCCGUCGUGCAAGCCAUCAUGUAUGCUUCCGCAAGUGCAAAUUUUCAUACUCCAUCUGUAUCUAUUGUUGAGCCUUGGGCGGACAGGGGAGGCUCUGUCCGUUCGGCGUCUGUUCGACGCGCUCGAACCGGCCAAAAGGAUCGGGCUCGGGGCGUGACAGAUAUAAUGGUAUCAGAGCGUAAAGAGCCAAAAAGUGAAAGUUUAGAAUGGACCCAGAGACCCUUAGGAAUGGAAAACCUUAAGGAUCUAGGGAACGUAGUGACGUGGAAUCGAAAUAUAGCGAAAGCUUAUGAUUGGGUGAAUGGCGAUAUGUCUCUAAUGUGAUUAGGGACUAAAUUUAAGUUGAUAUUUGUUUUCUUUUCCCUUGUGUUGUGAUCGGCGGCCGACAACAUGAUGCUUGGGAGUGAAAAUAAAUGCACUUAUAUGCUUUCGCCGGAUUGGGUAAAUUCGAGUAAGUUGGUUAAGUAACUAAUGUAAUUGCUUCAUUUCAGGAAGCAAUGCCGCCUCGUGGUCAACCUAAGAUGCCCCGUGGUCGACCGCGAACGAGGUCUAUGGCCGAGGAGCCAAGUGUGACUGCCGCGCAACCCGGAGCAGGUGGCGACGAAGAGCUUCGGGAGCAGAUGGCCGCGCUUAUUGGCGUAGUGCGGCAAUAGGUGGAGUCUGUUCAGUGCCAAAGGGAGCAAAUCCAAAGGCUCCAGGAGACCUUGGAGCGGCAGCAGAUGGCGGCGGCGGCGCCCUUGGAGGCCGUGCACCCUGCGCCCCCUACAGUGGUGCCGACCGCGACCGAGGGUGUGGCCGCUGCGGCCGUGCCAGUCACGAUGGUGCCGGCCGAAUCGGGGACUUCAAAUCCCAAUAGUGCGGCGGUGGAGGCGGAGCGGGAGCGUGCGUUAGCGGCUCUCGUACAGUUCAACAAGUUCAACCCACUUAUCUUCGAAAGGGGAGUGGUGGAACUGGCGGUUAUGAAGUCAUGGAUUGACUCCAUAGAGAUGCUCUUCGAGGACUUAUAUACCUCGAAGAAGGACAAGGUGUACCUCGCCACACAUUGCUUUGAGAAGGCGGCGAAGGUGUGGUAGAAGCGAGUUAGGCGGGAUCGAUCUCCCGAUCUUCCGCCUAUGUUGUGGGAGGAGUUCAAGAAGGCGGUGUUCGCCAAUUAUUUUCCCGACACGGUGAAACGAAAGUUGCAAGAAAAAUUCCGCAAGUUGAGGCAAGGGGAUCGUUCCGUGGCGGACUACGAGCAGGAGUUCUCCCACCUUAUCGAUUAUGUCCCGGGGGUUGUUCGCGAUGACCGGGACCGGGCUAAUUGGUUCUUGCGAGGACUUCGGCCGGAAAUUUAUAGGGCCGUGCAAAUCCUUAAGUUUACGACCUUUGCUGAGGUCUUUGAUCGAGCCUUGUGGGCGGAGCAUGGCUAUGCCCACGAAUGCGAGGAGCGCGAGUCUGCAGCCGAGGUAAGGGACAAAGGAAGAAGCGGGCGGCGGGUGGCACCGGGGGCUGGCCAAAUGCUAAGAAAACCCUCGAUAUCCCGGACAGCAAUCGAAGAACUGGAAGCCUCCCCGGUGCGUUAUUUGCGGAGGCGAGCAUCGACCGUCGACUUGCCCGCAAAGCGAAGGAAAGUGCUUCAAGUGCGGUUAGGCGGGACAUAUGAUACGGGAGUGCCCGAGACGGGCGUCGUCUGCACCGACGGCGGCGUCAGUUCCUUCCACCCUGAGGCAGCUUGCGGGGUUGCCCCGAGCUAUGUCGGCUAGAUGCUCAUCUACAUCGCGUCAGCCGAAGGCAUCUAGAGCACCGAGUGGGCGGGUUUUUGCCACUCAGGUGGAGGAGCCGAUUCCAAUCCCCGACGAUGUCGUGGCAGGUAUUAUUUUGAUCCGAGGCACUAGAGCUAGAGCUUUAUUCGACACAGGUGCAUCGCAUUCAUUCAUAAGUGCAUCAUUUGCAAAAGCUCAUGACAUAGAAAUCACACAUAACGAGGAUUAUUGGUCGAUGAAUACACCAGAGCAUUCGUUCCGUGUUCAUGACGAGUGCUUGGCUUGUCCAGUACAGAUUGGUUAUUGGGUUAUGCCGAUAGACCUAUUGGUGUUAAACCAAAUGUAGGGCUUCGAUGUGAACUUGGGGAUCGAUUGGCUCUCCAAGUAUUAUAUCGUGAUAGAUUGCAAAAGUAAAGUGAUCAUGUUCCGUGAGCCUAAUCAAGAAGAGUUAGUAUACCGGGCGUGUAAAAGCAAGCGCUUCGCGGCAACUGUAUCGGCGGCGAGAGCGAGGAAAAUGAUUAAGGGAGGAUGUGUAGCCUACUUGGCGACAAUGGUAGAAGCCCAAAAGGAGCACCGAGAACUUAGUGGUAUUCGAGUCNGUUCCGUGAGCCUAAUCAAGAAGAGUUAGUAUACCGGGCGUGUAAAAGCAAGCGCUUCGCGGCAACUGUAUCGGCGGCGAGAGCGAGGAAAAUGAUUAAGGGAGGAUGUGUAGCCUACUUGGCGACAAUGGUAGAAGCCCAAAAGGAGCACCGAGAACUUAGUGGUAUUCGAGUCGCGUGCGAGUUUCCGGAUGUAUUUCCGACGGAGUUACCGGGAUUGCCACCCGACCGGGAGAUCGAGUUCGUCAUUGAUUUGAUUCCCGGGGCAGCGCCAAUUUCAAAAGCUCCGUAUAGAAUGGCACCGGCGGAGCUAAAGGAGCUUAAGGCACAAUUGCAAGAUUUGCUCGAUAAAGACUUUGUGAGGCUGAGUGUGUCACCGUGGGGAGCUCCGGUGCUAUUUGUUAAAAAGAAGGAUGGCACACUUCAACUCUGCGUAGACUACCGCGAGUUGAACAAGGUCAUAGUUAAGAACAAGUACCCGUUGCCGAGGAUUGAUGAUUUAUUCGAUCAGUUGCAAGGGUCGAAGGUGUACUCGAAGAUAGACCUUCAGUCGGGGUAUCAUCAGUUGAAGAUACGACUCAAGGAUGUGCACAAAACGACGUACCGUACGCGGUAUAGCCACUACGAGUUCACGGUAAUGCCGUUUGGGCUUACUAAUGCCCCGGCGGUAUUCAGGGACUUAAUGAAUCGAGUCUUCCGUCUGCUAUUGGUUGAUGACGUAUUAGUAUAUUCUCGAACCGAGGGAGAACACGAGGAGCAUUUGAGGAUCGUGUUGGAGACACUCCGAAAAGAAAAGCUAUAUGCAAAAUUAAAGAAGUGUGAAUUUUGGCUUUUGGAGGUUACUUUCUUGGGUCAUGUUAUAUCUGGUGAUGGCAUCUCGAUAGACCCAAAGAAAGUUGAGGCAAUUAAAGAUUGGCCUCGCCCGACGAGUGUGUCGGAGGUCUGCAGUUUUCUUGGACUAGCGGGCUACUAUCGGCGGUUCGUGGAGGGGUUCGCCAAAAUAACUACUCUACUAAUGUGCCUUACACACAAGGGAGUGAAAUAUGUGUGGAGCGACGAUUGCGAUCGAAGCUUUAAGGAGUUGAAGGAAAGGUUGACGACGACCCCGGUGCUUGCAUUGCCGACGCCGGGGGAGACCUUUGUGGUAUACAGUGAUACUUCCUAUGUCGGUCUCGGGUGUGUCUUGAUGCAAAACGGCCGAGUUAUAGCUUAUGCCUCGCGCCAAUUGAAAACUUAUGAAAAGAACUACCCGAUUCAUGACCUCGAGCUAGCGGCAGUUAUCUUCGCGCUAAAGUUAUGGAGGCACUACUUGUAUGGUGAACAUUGCGAGAUCUACACGGAUCACAAAAAUCUUAAAUACUUGUUCACCCAAAAGGAGCUGAAUAUGCGACAAUGGCGGUGGUUAGAAUUAUUAAAAGACUAUGAUGUCACUAUCCUAUACCACCCCGGAAAAGCAAACGUCGUGGCCGAUGCACUUAGUAGAAAAUUGGGAGAAAACAUGGCUUCGGCAAUUACACCCCAAGCAUUAUUGCAAAAGGAGAUGCAACGGCUUGGAUUAGAAGUAGUAGCGCCAGGAGUGCCGGCUACACUUGCUACCUUGGUGGUGCAACCGACCUUGUUGGAGAAGAUAAAAGAGUUGCAAGCUUCCGACGAGUUUCUCCAAAAGGUGCGCAGUGAAGUUGAGAGCGGUAGUGCCGAUGAUUUUGGCAUUGGGACCGACGACACACUUUGAUUCCGAAAUCGUUGGUGUGUAUCUAAGAACAAGGAUCUUCGCAAGGGGAUUAUGCAAGAGGCGCAUCAAUCUCAUUAUAACAUCCACCCGGACGGCACCAAAAUGUACCAAGGUUUGAAAGCCUACUAUUGGUGGCCGGACAUGAAGAAAGAUAUUGGGGAGUUCGUGGUACAAUGUCUUACGUGCCAACAAGUGAAAGCGGAGCGGCGGUUUCCGGCAGAGAAAUUGCAAACUUUGCCUAUACCGGUUUGGAAAUCGAAAAAUAUCGCUAUGGAUUUCGUGACCGGUUUGUCUCGAUCUCAAGGUGGACACGACGCAAUCUGGGUGAUAGUAGACCGGUUGACGAAGUCGGCGCAUUUCCUACCGAUUCAUAUUACAUGGUCGAGGGACAAGUUGGCUCAAGAAUACAUCGACGAGGUUGUGAGACUUCAUGGUGUUCCGGUAUCAAUUCUAUCGGACCGGGACCCGACAUUCACAUCUCACUUUUCGAGGAGCCUACAGGAGGCAUUGGGCACAUGACUCGACUUUAGCACGACAUUUCAUCCUCAAAGUGAUGGUCAAUCGGAGAGGACGAUACAAAUACUUGAGGAUAUGCUUCGAGCAUGUGUACUUGACUACAAGGGCGGUUGGCAUGAUCAUCUACCGAUGGCGGAGUUCGCGUACAAUAACAGUUAUCAAGAAAGUAUCGCGAUGGCGCCAUUCGAGGCCCUUUAUGGAAAGAAGUGACGCUCCCCAAUUCAUUGGAGCGAUGUGGGCGAGAGAGUUACUCUUGGCCCGGAUGUAGUGCGGUAGGCGGAGAUGAAAGUUCGCCUCGCUCGCCAACGACUUGCUACCGCGCAAUCUCGGCAAAAAAGCUAUGCCGACAAUCGAAGAAAGGAUAUCGAGUUUGCGGUUGGCGACCGCGUAUUCUUAAAAAUAUCGCCAAUGCGAGGAAUAAAACGUUUUGGAAUUCGAGGGAAACUACGUCCCCUUACCUUGGACCGUUUGAGAUAUUAGAGCGGGUCAGCACGGUGGCGUACAAGAUAGCACUACCACCGAGACUUGCGGGAGUGCACAAUGUGUUUCAUGUAUCGAAUCUCCGCAAGUAUAUUCAUGACCCCGAGCAUGUCCUCUCGUUUGAACCGUCUGAGAUUCAAGAGGAUAUGACUUACGAGGAGUUCCCGGUAUUCAUCAUCGACCGAGAAGUAAGAAAACUACGGAACCAUCAAAUUCCGUAUGUUAAGAUCCGUUGGUGCAACCACGAUGAUCGAGAAGCCACUUGGGAGCUCGAGAGCGCGAUGCGGGAGCAUUAUCCCCAUCUCUUCGAGAAUCUGGAAUAAGGUAUGGAUUUGGAUUUUAAUCAAGUUAGUUUCAUGGAUGAAACUAAUUUUAAGGGGUGGAGAAUGUAACGUAUCAAAACCUCGAUAGCGAUUAUCGAACUUUAGCCAAAUUGGUUAAAGUGCCGAGAGAAAUGGAUGGACAAAGUCCGGUUGACAUUCCAACAAUGUUGGAAGGGUCAAAGUUGAGUUCCGAGAGUGUUAAGCAAGUUUUAGCAUUGCUCGGCGCGAUUUAAAAGUGAACAAUGCGAAAGAAAUAGUUGUGUAUGUUCCAUUAAGCGUUCCAACAAUGUUGGAAGGGUUAAAAAGGAAUUUUAAAAGAGUUAAAAGGGGUUUAGCAUCGACCGGCGUGAAAUAAAAUCGAAAACAGCGCAAAACUAGCAUUCUGGGCAAAGUGUACCGGUACAACCAUCGAGUUGUCACCGGUACAGCCCUGCAGACCGAGAAGAGUUUACUCUUGGGUUUGAGUUUUCACAGAAAUGUACCGGUACACCCCUGGUGUGUGUACCGGUACACUUUGGUAAAAUCCGUGGAGGCUGCUCUCGGGUUUGCCUCUGCGUAAUCGUGUUACCGGUGACAGAGUCCCGUGUACCGGUACACUUUGGUCUGGCAGCAACAAUAAGGUCUAUUACAAAUAGGGAUAUUUGGGGGGGUUAGUUGCAAUUGUAGCAUACCAUAUAUACCCUCAAACACCUUCCUUCACAGCAGCAGCCCUUUCUCUCCUCUCUACUUUAUUUUCCUUUUCCUCCUACCCACUGGAACAACUUUCCAUGCAGCGCUAGGGCACACAUUCAUUGGCAUGAAUCCAGUCACGCCCAAGCAAUAAAUUGUAAUGGCUAUCUGCAUCCACUACAAAAAAUUUUGUUCUUAAGGUUUUAGAUCCUACCGUAACCUCGGUUGUGAGCACUCCUCUGGCUUGUUCACUGUUUCCGGUGAAGUCGGUCAUAAUUGUGUCGGUAGGCUUCAACUCGUCUUCGCUCUUGCCUAGUUUUUUGAAAAAUGAAGUAGGUAUGACGUUGACCAUUGCUCCACCGUCCACCAUGACUCGGCCUACUGGCCGUCCCUUUACUAAGGCCCUUAUAAAUAAAGGCCUGACAAACCUUGUUUGCAUAAUCGAUGGUUUUUCAAAAACCAUCGAAUCGGCUGGCUUAGAGUCCUCCAACUGCAAUUGGGCCACUGUGACCCCUUCUUCCUCAUCUAUCAUUUCCUCGUACUCAGUAUACUCUUCUUUAAAUGAUUGAGGCAGAGCAUACACCAUGUUCACAUCGACCGGACCUUCGUCAGCCGAUCUUUCUUGUAUUCUCUAUUUCUUUUCUUCAGACUCCCUCGCCAUCUUGGCUGAGGAGUCAUUUUCUAUUCGUGCCUCCCUCUCCUUGGGAGGCCAUUUGUCUCGCUUGAUAAUGGUCUCGAGAGAAGCUAUUUUUUCCUCCAGCUCUUUCCAAGUCACCUUCUCCUCCGGUUCGGCCGUAAUUGGCCGUUCUAUCUUCAAUUUUAACCAAGGAAUGGGCGAUGAACCGCCCGCCUCGUGAUCAUUCCGUAUCGGACGAAAAGGAUGUGGUGGUUCAUUGAGUCGUCUCCACACAUUCAACCUAAUCCCUUUUGCUUCUUCGUAGUGAUGUCUUGCCUCGGCUUGCAACCUCUGUUGCCGACGCUUCUGUGUUUUUGUUAACAUCGGCCCUUGCCAUUUGGCCGAUGGUUUGGCUUCGUGCCAUUGAUCAACUGGCACGUUUGCCGGUACUUUCACCGUUCUCAAAUGAUUCCUCAAAAUUUCUCUUCUUUCCCAUGGUCUCGGCCACGGUUGUAUGCCGAGCUCAUUGACCAAUCUCCGACCGAGGAAUUCUAUAUCCCCCCCGGUCAUCCCUUCAAACUCUGGUUCUGGUCUCAGCCUGGUUUGAUGUUGCCAAUGUGGUCGAUGCCCCGGGAACCUCUGUUUUGAGCCGAAUGGUUUUUCUGGAUAACUCCAUCGGCUAUUGUGUUCCUCUCUCCGGCUGUUGUAAUAAUUAUUUAAAACUUUUUGCAUCAACAAAUCUUUUUUAUUUUGUACCGAGUCGACUUCUGGCUCAGACUCGUUGGAGGCUUCAUCUGAGCCAUCCUCUGAUUUGUUGUCACCUUUGGGAAUUUCUUCCCAUUCCUCCGGGAAUGCCAUGAAUUCCCUCCAUUCAUUAUGUGUUUUCUUCUCGUUGAUGAUUGCUUCCCAAUCUUUCUUGGUUAUUUUGGCCUUACACUUUAUGUAAAGCCGAAGAGUUCUUUUGGAGUAAGUGAUACUUUCGGCGGCCUUCUUGUCCGCGACUGCCUUUCCCUUAACACCUACCAUAUUGACCUGCGAUGGAAAUAGAUUCUUGUCAAUUUUUAUAUUUUUAUUUUCUUGGCCGGCAAAUAUGAGCCGACCUUCAUUUAUUUCUUUUUGAAUCUGCCUUUUAAAAGCAGUACAUUCAUUCGUUCUAUGGCUCCAUGAAUGGUGCCAUUUACAGUAUCUUCUCCUUUUCAAUUCCUCUCCAGAAGGUAUAGUUUGACCCUCCUGUAGCUGAAUUCGCCCAUCCUUUAACAACCGAUCAAAAAUUAAAUUGGUCUUCGAUACAUCAAAUGAAUAAGUAUAUGUUGAAACUCGUGCUUUUGCCUCGCUUGAUUUAGCAGGCUUUAACAAAGCACAUUUAUAUGGCUGGCGAUUUUUUAUCAUUUCUGCCACUUAUAUUUCGGCUUCAUCAGCCAAAUCCUCUGUUUCUUCAGAUGUAUUCGGUUCCUCGUGAACCGAAGAUUCUUUGAGGAAAGAGAUAUUUUUCUCUUUUCCUUUGUUCUAAUCUUUGUUUCGGCUCCACCUAGGCCGAUCCUCGUUGUUUCCUUUUCGAAAUUGCUCAUAUUGGACAACCCGAACUUCCAAAUCAAAUAGAUUUGAAAAAUAUUUAUCUUCAAAAUGAUCUUUUAUCUUGAAAUGUAAGCCGUUAAAUGCCAUCUUGGCAAAUUCUGAUUCUGGCAUUCUUACAAAACAACGGCUCCUGGCCGUCUUGAAUCGGUUCAAGUAUUCUUCAACCGAUUCAAGUAUUCUUCAACCGAUUCACCUGUUCUCUGUUUAAAUUGAGCCAGAUCAGCUACCGAUAAUUCUGGUUCUGAUCUAUAAAAUUGUUCAUGAAAUUUUCUUUCUAAUUUGUCCCAAUCUCGGACGGAAUUAGCCGGCAAACUCGUAUACCAAGUAAAAGUGUCUUGGUUAACGAGGUGUUAAAUAAUCUCAAUUUUAAAAACGGAUCCACCGCGGCUUCUCGGCAUUGUGCCGUAAACCGUGCAACAUGUUCGACCGUGUUUUCGGUCUCAUCGCUAGAAAAUUUGUCAAACUUCGGCACUUUCCAAUUUGCUGGAUAAGGAUGCUCUGCGUCUAUAUUCGCAGGAUAAGGUGAUCUAAAUACAGGCCGCAUUGCCGGCCUUGCGCAAACUCCGAAAGUAUUUCGGAUGGCUUCUUCAAUCUGUGCGUAUAUUUCAUUAUUAUUCCCUUGGAAAGGAACUUGUGCUUGUGCUUCAUUCGGUCCUUGCGGUAGCCCUAAAUUCUGUACCAUAGGGUUUACUUCUUGUAUAUUCGGGGCCUACCCCCCAGCUCUAGCCCCUAUAUUUUGGGGCUGAUAUGCUGCCACUGGCGGAGGAGGCGGUAAUCCCCAUGGUAUCUCUGGCUGUGGACCGGCAUUAUUAAUAGCCGGUCUGUAAGCUGCUUGAAAUGGUGCCUCCUGGUAUUGGGGCUGACCAUUUGCUGGUAUUACAGGAUUUUGUAACACUAGCGUCAUUACAGGCCCUUGCAAGCCUACUACCGGUUGCUCAUUACGAGUCAAUAAUUGCCCUAUUCGGGCAAUAUUCUCGUUGGAGGCCGUGAUUGUGGCCAACACUGCAUCUAAUCGUGCAGUGCUUCUAUGACUAUUUUGAUCCAAUACUUGUAGGACCCGUGUCAUUUGUCCAAGCGCCUGAGUCAAACUAGGCUCUUGCUGGUCAGAUUGACCACUAGUCUCACAUUCGACAGGCAAGACCGCUUGGCGCUCUCCAGCAUUAUCGGAAUUGCUUGGUUGAUCGCUCCCGAAAUUUCUAGGAACGACUCAAUUGCGUAAAUUCAUGGUGUUAUCAUCAGCCAUAACUUCAAGAGAAAUAUAAAUUUACCUAAAUUGGUGUCCCACCGGGUAUGCCAAAAUUGUUAGGAGCCGAAUUUACCCUUCUUUGACCCGAUCAAAGAUCCUCCUCGGGAAGCGUGUCGGGGUAUGGAAUAGCUACGAAUAGUGACCCUCGAAGUUUGUGCCCUUCAACUGGAUCAAGCAAUUCGGCUGAUGAGGGAUCGGAUCAGCCAAGUUCGAAACCUUCUACUGAAGAGUCGGUUCGGCUGGAUGAGCCGAAUGUACGAACUAUGCACAGAUUUGGGUUGGCCGAAGAGCCGAAUAGGCAGAAAAUACAAUGACUAGUCGGUUGAAAGAGCCGAAAGCCUUUAUAUAUUGAAUGUAACUUGUUAAAACAGUACAAAGAUUCAGUGUGCUUGAGGGCAUACAGACUGGGUUGAUCUAGCUAAAACUCUACUCCUAAAGAAAAGCAGUAAAUGCAGGAAAGUAAAGGAUUACAAGUAGACUACUUCUAAAAAAUGCGAGGAAAUUGCAGGCAAGAUACAGGUGGUCUUCUAUUCUCGGGAAAAAGACCACUUUUUAGGGCGUUAUUGGCCUAUUUAUAGAUUGCCCCUGUUGAUCAAUUAUUCCCCACCCAUGAUCGGCCACUACUUCUAUUUUCCCGGGCCACUUUCAGCCGAUCGGAACCGCUUGUAACUGCUCGCGGUUACUGUAACUUCCCUUAAUUGCGCGGUGAUUUGCUUAAAACCUCUUCCGAUGCUCCCGAUGCACAGCAAAAUUAUUACACUUAAUAAAUAAAGCUGAGUGGUGUACCAGCGUACCACGUGUCCGCGCCUUAUAGGCCCAACAGUAUGAAAACUUAAUAAGUUUUAAUUAAUUAUAAUUAUUAAAUUUGAUAAAAAAUAAAAGAAUCAUUUAAAUUUUUAAAGUUUGAUUUACAUAUUGUAAGGACUGAAAUUUUGGCAGUACAAUUAGACUCUCUGUUGACGAUGUUCCUGUGUGCAAUUUAAUUACAUAAACACUCGUCAAGUUUCAGGAGAAAAUGAGCUAAAAUGGAGAAGAUACGCGAUUUUUAGUUUUCACUUAAGUGAAUAGUAACUCUGAUUUUUCGGAAAAGUUAAUAAGAAAAUACGGCUUCUGGCGCGUAUCGCACUCCGUUCAUAGCAAUCCAAUAGCUCGUUUCGACCGGUUCAGUUAUUCUGGAACUAAUGGCGCUGACGGAUUUUGAGUUUGACGCAUGGAUUUUGAGAAAAUCAGAAAAUACAUGUUUUAUAUGUAAUUGUGCGUCGUAUUUGGCCUUUUGGAGAGAGAGCGGAUUUCGUCGCGAAUCCGUGACUAUUUGAGGCGAAACGAAAUCGCAGCCUUGUUGUCUCCGAGGUGCUGAUCGCACUGGUGAGAUUCGUUCGCAAAUCGGAUAGACGGGUCUACGGAGACUGCACGUUGAUCGAGGUGAGGUCGGUGUUGGCAAAACGGUAUUUUCGCAAAAGCCGCGACAUUUUAUGUGCCAUUUUGCAUGAAAUCGCAGGUGGAGGGGUAUUCGCACGUUUUACUCAUGCUGUGGAGGACCCAGUUUGAAAUUCUUAGCUUUGGUGGACUUAUCUGCAAUUCUACACCAUAUAUAUAUGGUUGCAUUAGGGUUUUCCACUUGAAACCCUAACCUAGCCCUAACGGCACCCCCAGCCACGUUCUUGCUUCCCUCUGACCUAGCCGCACGACUCCCGCCCGCCGCCGACUGAGCCCCGACCGGCCAACCGCCGCCGCAGCCAUCUUCUUUCUUCCUCUCCAUAUAUAUAUCUCUCUCUCUCUCUCUCUUUCUCUCUCUCUCUCUCUCUCUCGCUUCUUCUCGGGUUGGAGCCCUAGUCGAGGCUGCAUUGCCUCCCUACUCCCUGCUGGCGUCGCCCUGACCUUGUCGGAGCCGCCCCAGGUCGAUCGCUGCUGCCUGCCGCCGUCGCCAAGCGCCGCCGCGGCCGCUGCUGCACCCUGCUGCUGCCCAGGCCGAGGCUAACUCGCGGCCCCCUCGUGUACAGCCGCCACCUGAGCCCGCUCCCGCCACCCUCCUGGAACUCCCCGGCGCCGUCCCCCGCCGGCCGUCGCCGCCCGCACGCGUCGCCCGAAGCUCUUGCAGCCGCUCAGACUCGAUGCUGGCCGAGGCAGAGCCCUCGUGGCCUCCGCGCGUUGCCACCGCCUAUGGCAGGGAGCACCACCUCCCCCUAGGCCUCCGCCGACAGUUCGUCGCCGCCCGGAGAUCCCCCGGCCGCCGCCGGCCGCCUCAGACCUCAUGAACCCGUGAGCAAGUCGCGGGUCGAUCCGUGUCGCCGCGCCACCGGCCGCCUCCCGCCGCCGGCCAGCAGGUUCCCCGGAUCCCUUAGACCAGCCGCUCCCAUCUUCGGCCGAAUCGCUCGCCAUCCGGCCGCCGACGGCCAGCCCUAGCUCUCCCUUGGCCGGUAAGCUUGAUUUCAGCGUUUCUGCUCAUAGUUUCCUGUUCUGGUCACUGUUCCGGCGACCCAAUGCUGUUCCGAUGCCUCCGGGGGUGAGCACGGUGAUUGUCUGUCAGUCCUGAUCACAGUGCUCACCUCAUUUAGAGCCAACGAGCCCCUGGUUGGCGAGAUAAGCAUGUUUUUCCUGCUGUGCGCGCUGUUUCACUGAUUUCGCAUCGCUCGUGCACGUGCCACAGUGGCCGGUAGUGCUCCGAAAGGUGAGCAUGGUCUCCGGCACGCCGAGACCUGACAGCGGGUGUCUCGGUUUGGCUGAUUGACUUCUAGUUUGUGUAGACGGACCAUAAAAGCGUCGAAAUCACAUAAAAUAAUGCGAUUUCGGGUAAUCGGGAGGGCUUUUAUGUAUUUUGGGUUGUUGCGGCUGCUGUUGGCAGCAUGGGUGAGUAGUGAGUAACCUUUGGACUGAUUGUCCAAGGCCCCAAGCCCUUACGGAGACCGUAAAGUGAUUUCCGAUGCGUUUCUCGGCGAAAUUCGCCGACAGAACGCAGGUUCGGUUCGGAAUUCUUCCGACGGUACUUGGUGAUUAUUUGCGUCGUCGCUGAGCCUUGUUGGCUGGUCACCCGCGUCGUUUCGAGGGUUCGAAAACGACGGGUGAGUGACGGUAGAGUUCCGGUGCGGUUUUCGUGACUUCCGGCUUGUUUGGUAAUCGGUUUUGGGAAACCGGUUCUCGUGGUUCUGGUGAGUGGGGUUUGUGUGUUAGCGAGUCAUGUUAGUGGGUUAGAUUCUAACCCGUGGACCUUUCGUAGGUUCGAUUGUUCUGUCUUCAUAGUCGAGAGAUCUUCGUCAGACACGUACAAGUGGGUACUUCGAUCCGACGUCGGUACAGUGGUGCACGCUCGGUGAUGGUUUCUUACUUUUGUUCUCUCGUUAUUAUCUGGCAUAUAUAUAUAUCUUGAUAUAUAGUGUUGAGCCUAGCACCAUGUUGUUUCAGUUAUGCUCUACUCGGUUAUUUUCGUUAUAUCUAGUAUCAUGAGUAGGAGUAGAGUAGUUAUUCCAUAUUUCUUUGUUACUCUAUUUAGCUGUUCUGCAUAUCCGGUAUCAUGUUUAGAGUAGAGCAUCUUCGUGACUUUCAUUGUUUGAUGACCGUUGAGGUCGGUAUACCCUGAGGGGUGAGAUUGUCGGUUAAUGGCCGACGGAUGAUUAUAGUUUUCACAAAUCCGUCAUUUGACCCUUUGUGACCUAGUCUGUUAGUUCUGGAUUCUUGUCGUUUGAUGACCCAUGAGGUCGGUGUACCCUGAGGGGUAGGAUUGUCAGCUAGUGGCUGACGGCAAUUCCAGAUUAUAGUGAUACAUUCCUGUGAUUUAUGGUUGUCUUGAUAUCUAUACUUUAGUUGAUCCAUCGAACAGUAUUUCCAUACUUUUGAGAGGAUUGAGUCGAUUCGUUGUGCAUAUAUCCUAGUUGACUUGAGUGUGUCAGUCAUUGUGGGUUCAUUGAGCAGUACUUGCAUAUGUUUGAGAGGAUGUCGAUGUGUUCCCAUCCUAGUUGACUGAGUGGUCGGUUCUUGUGCUUCCUUACAGUGGAUGACUUUUGGUCGUUACCCAAGGGCGGGUGAUUCUCGGCUGAUUUGUCGACGGUUGGCUAUUGAUCAUAUCCGCAUUGAUCGCCACAGCUCGAGUGCAUUUCACGUACACCAGCGGGUUGAUCCCCGCAGGAUGGCUGUUCUUUUCCGGAAAAGUGGUCGUACAUCCGACCCGUGAGCCCAGCGGUGUUCUCUUUGUGCUAGGGUUACAUGCCAGGUGUGAGCAGGUAGUGGCUUUUCCCUGAGGUCCUUAGACCGACACGGCGGUUUAGAUUUGGUACUUUUGGACUUCUCGUCCGGUUUGGCGCAUAUAGCUAUAGUAGCGGUUGUUGCAUAUAUACUUCUAGUUCUUUCUUUACAGUUGUCUUGUACUAUAGUUUUGAUAUCCUUGUUAUGCUUGCAGUUGUACAUUACAGUAGCGUAGUUGUGCUUUAUAUAUAUAUCUCAUUGUUCAUUAUCGUGCUACUGUAUUUUACUUACCCAUACUGUUGUUUAUCUCUUCCUGAUCCGGUGAGUACUCCUCGCCUUCUUCGGCUUGCGUACCCACUGGGAGGGGAGACAUGUUUAUAUGUUCUCACCUCCCCCACUAUUUUUCAGGUAUCGCGGGCGGUGAGGUUGAGACGAGACGUGAGACACGUGGAUAGCUGUCGUUAGAGCCUCCGACCCGGUUUGUACUAUUUAGUUAUUACCCUAUUAUUUCUGGUGAUAUAUAGCUUAGUCGGUCUAUAUGGUUCAAUAUUUCAUUAUGUUAAAAUAUUCAAGGAUUUCUAGAUUUUCGUAAAUAAAAUAUUUUCUACCCCUCGUGGUAGCGUUUUUAAAAGAUAAAAGUUUCCGUGUAGGGACCAGUUUUUAAAAGAUUUUCUGUGGAAUUAUGUUUAAACAUUGAAUGUAAAUCUGUGAUGUGAAUGGUGAAUGUAUGAAUGUAUAGUUAUCUUUAUAUUCAUUUAGUUGUGGUUGUAUCCUGUUUGUAUUUUUGUACUUGUACGACGCCGUGCAAAUACAGGGGAGACUCUGUCCGUGUGAACAGUGGAUUCCCUGUAUUUGUGGCGGAUCUGGCAUUCCCUGGGGUUAGGUUUUCAAAAAAAAAAAAAAUUUUCGCUGUAUUUUAACCUAAAAUGGGACCCCGGGGCGUGACACAUAUUAAAAUUAAAUAUAUUGAAAAUUUUAAAUGUGUCGAUUGAUAAGUUGAAGAAUUAUUAAAAAAUAUAAAAAUAUUACAUAUCUCCACUUAUUUAUUUAUAGAUAGUAAGUUAAAUGAUUAAGAAAAUUAUACAAUUAUUUUCUAUAUAGUGAAGAAAAUCCCACCAAUCUAUAUGCAGAGAUAAUGAGAUUCACAAAUACAACUAUCAAUUUCAUAUUACCAAAUAGAAGAAAUGUAAUUGCAACAGUUACAUCUAUACAAAACCAAAUAAACUAUAUGUUUACAAUUACUGUAUUUUCAACUGCAUACAUUUUUAAUUAUAUUGCAUUUACAAGUACAUCCAACCAAACGGCCCCUUACAAUAAUAUAAGGGAAAACUUCAAAAAAACCAACCUGUGGUUUUGCACUUUUUCAUUUUAGUGCCAUGUGGUUUAAAGUGUAUCAAGUUAGUACCCUGUGGUUUCGCACUUUCUCACUUUAGUACACUGUGGUUUAAAGUGUAUCAAGUUAGUACUCUGUGGUUAGGGCUGUAGAGUAAGGACCCACUAGUACAACUACUUUUGGAGGGUUUUGUGAAUCACAGAGACAAAACUAUCCUCCGUAACAGUAAAAAAAUUUUAAUAAAUUUUAGAAAAUUGUUAUAUGUAUGAAUUCUCUUACAAACCGCCGCCGUCGCCGCCCUCGCCGGCGACGAAGAAGAGGGAAGAAGAAGAGGAGGAAGAAGAAGAAGGGUAGAACCGUAAAUUCACGUUAUAAUUAACCAUGGUUAAGUAUUUUAACCGUGGUUAACGAAAAUUUUCUAACAGUCCUUAACGGCAGGGACAUAUCUGCAUAACUUAAGACUUUUGCAGAGACAACUUAUGGAGUUUCCGUUUUGCAGGAAUAUUUCUGCAAUUCACUAUAUUUGCAGGGACGUGUAUGCAAAUAACCCUUGAUUUUAUGUCUCGGUUUUUACUUUUUAUCAUUCAGCUAGGUUAUUUGGUUAAUUUUUAGGCUAAAUUACAUAAAACCCCCUAUCAAAAUUCAAUUUUUCACUUCUUCUCACUGUCAUUUAAAAACCUACACUUUGCCUCCUUAUGAAAUGAAAACAUUCACAGGGGGUACGGUGUAAACUGUGAUGAUAAAAUGACCAUUUUGUCCCCCACUAUUUUUUCCCUCACCAUAUUCACAGAAGAGAAGGCUGAGGGGAUUUUUGGCAUAAAAAAUUAAUUCAGAAAAAAUAUAAUUUUUUAAUUUUAAGUUUUAAUUUUUAAAUUUCAAAUUUUAAGAUUUUAAAUAGUGAAUUCAAAUAUUAAAUUGUAAAUAUUGAACUUUUAAUUUCAUAUGUUAAAAUUUAAAAUUUUGUUCUCAACGUUUUAUACCUUAAAUUUAAAUUUAAAAUUUGCAUAAUAGAAAAUUUUACAUUUUUAAUAUUUAAUUAUUCAUUUUGGUUUUGCUUAAAUUUUAUAAUCAAUUUUUAUAAAUUACAUAAAUUUUUUGCUGCGAAGUGCGGGCCUUCACUAGUAUGUAUGAAUUCUCUUACAAACCACCUAAUUCACCACAACAAAAGUUUUGUUUUUUCCUUACUCUUUCUCUUCUGUAAAUGUUAAGCGGUUGUUUGGUUUUACGUAAAAUUGGGAAAAAAAAUUUUCCGUGAAAAACAGUUUUUCGUGAAAAAUUUAUUUUACGGUUUUUAGUGUUUGGUUUGUAGGAAAAGAAAACUAGUUUUCAGUUAUAAUUGUUUGGUUAAAUAAUUGAAAAGAAAAAUUACAUUUUUUUAUUAUAUAUUCUAUAUAUUAUUUAUUUAUAAUUUAUAAUAAUUAUUAGGCUAUAUAUAUUAUUAUUAUAAUUUAUAUUUAUGAAUUAAAUAUAUCAAAAUUAUAUAAUAUGAUAAAUUGAUAAGUAUUUAAUAUAAUAUAUGUAAGAGUCCGCAUAUAAUAAUACUAUAUAAAAAUAUAUAAUUUUUAUAAAUAAAAAUAUAAAAUUAGUUUUUCUUUAUGAUUGUUUGGUUGAAAAGAAAAAAAAGNUUAGUUAUAAGAGAAAAAAAUUAUUUAAACUUUAAAGACUUUUCGCUUCCUCACUAUAGGUUACCAUAUUAAUUUGAAUUACUUAAUGACCCAUAAUAAUUUAAUAAAUACAUAUAACCUUCAAAAGAAUUAUUACAAAUUAAUGUAAAACUUGAAAUUCAAAUUUUUCAUAUUCCAUUAUAAUUGAAAAGUAGGGAAUUAAAGAGAUAAUAAAAAUAGUGAAUUAGUAGAGAAAGUAAAAAAAUAGUGAUAUUUAGUUGAAUCACCAUUAUUUCUCAAUUUUAUCCUAAAAAAAUCUUGGCCUAAGAGGUUCUUAAAAUAGUCUAACUCAUCGAGAAGGUUUUUUUAUGUUACUAAAAUGACCUUUUGGUUUCUAUGUCACAAUCCACAUUGUUAUAAAAAUAAAUGGCAAAAAAGGAGAAUGCAUUAAUGCACAAAGAAACGUAUAGAAUACUAUGUAUAUUAGUUGUUAAAUAUAUAGAUUAUAAAUGUGUAUUAAAUUAUAAUAUCUAUCUAUUAACUUAUAUUAAACCCCAUAAUUAAUCCACGUGGCAAGCUUAGCAUAAUUUUAGCCUACAAGCCUACACGUCAGCAUAAUCUUAAAUGAAAUUACAAGUCCGUGGGGCCUACCUGACAAUUCUUUUUCUCUUGAACUAGCUUUUUCCCAUUCUUGAACUGUUUCUCUUCUUUCUUGAACCGUCUUUUCCCCUCCCUUAAGCCGUUUCUUCUUCCGACCCACCCCCGCUGAUGAAAUACAGGUCCAGUGCAUUGUCGUUUCUUCUUCCCUCCCGACCAUUUCCUCGAUUGCCAUUUUCUCUACCUUCCUUACAUAAAGCGUCACAAUAUUGGGGAUGAGAGGUGGCGACAGGGGUUCGAGGCAUGAGGUGGCGGAUGAUGGCAGGGUAAGGGAGCAAAGAAAGUAGAGAGAGAGAGAGUAGGUAGGUCGUGGUGUUUGACAAUGACACCAAAGUAAGAUACCUUAUAAUUUCCUUUUUUUUCUUUUUUUUUAAUGUACUCCAUCUCGAUCAGGUCUGUAGGAUCUAAUCCCAUUUUGCUCUUACUUAAUUUGUUGUGCUCCAUUGUUGGAACUCCCUUCUUUUGUACACCCUCUCCUACUUUUGCUACUACUAUCUCCAAUUUUUCAUUUACUUUAGAUUCAGUUUUUUCUUAUUCUUUUUAUGUUUUUGCUGCCAUACUGCUGCAGCAGCAAUUUUUGCUACUAUUGCUUCAUUUUCUUCCUGCUCUGCUGCUGUAGAAGCAGCAAUUCUACUUCUAUUACUUCUUUGAAUAAGUUAUUAUCUCCAAAUUACUGAUUAAUAAAAAAAAANUGCAUUAAUGCACAAAGAAACGUAUAGAAUACUAUGUAUAUUAGUUGUUAAAUAUAUAGAUUAUAAAUGUGUAUUAAAUUAUAAUAUCUAUCUAUUAACUUAUAUUAAACCCCAUAAUUAAUCCACGUGGCAAGCUUAGCAUAAUUUUAGCCUACAAACCUACACGUCAGCAUAAUCUUAAAUGAAAUUACAAGUCCGUGGGGCCUACCUGACAAUUCUUUUUCUCUUGAACCGGCUUUUUCCCAUUCUUGAACUGUUUCUCUUCUUCCUUGAACCGUCUUUUCCCCUCCCUUAAGCCGUUUCUUCUUCCCAUCCACCCCCGCUGAUGAAAUACAGGUCCAGUGCAUUGUCGUUUCUUCUUCCCUCCCCACCAUUUCCUCGAUUGCCGUUUUCUCUACGUUCCUUACAUAAAGCGUCACAAUAUUGGGGAUGAGAGGUGGCGACAGGGGUUCGAGGCAUGAGGUGGCGAAUGAUGGCAGGGGAAGGGAGCAAAGAAAGUAGAGAGAGAGAGAGAGAGAGAGAGAGAGAGUAGGUAGGUCGUGGUGUUUGACAAUGGCACCAGAGUAAGAUACCUUCUAAUCUCCUCUUUUUUUCUUUUUUUUUUAAUACACUCCAUCUUGAUCAGGUCUGUAGGAUCUAAUCCCAUUUUGCUCUUACUUAAUUUGUUGUGCUCCAUUGUUGGAACUCCCUUCUUUUGUACACCCUCUCCUACUUUUGCUACUACUAUCUCCAAUUUUUCAUUUACUUUAGAUUCAGUUUUUUCUUAUUCUUUUUAUGUUUUUGCUGCCAUACUGCUGCAGCAACAAUUUUUGCUACUAUUGCUUCUUUUCCUUCCUGCCACUGCUGCUGUAGAAGUAGCAAUUCUACUUCUAUUACUUCUUUGAAUAAGUUAUUAUCUCCAAAUUACUAAUUAAUAAAAAAAAUUUAUUCAUGUUUGCAUUAUACAGAUUCAUGAACUGGAGUAUCCAGUACGUUGGAAAUUCAUCUGUAGGAUCGAGCAGAAGUUUGGCAUAUUUAGCAAACUAGAUGCUUGCACUUUUGUCGUAAAUGCUUAUGAUGAAGUAUAGUCACAGGUUGUUCUUCCCAUGGUAAUCAUUUUGCCACUAUUGCAACUGCCUUCUAUCCUAAGGUAUGUUAACAUGAUUAGAUACUGCAUUUCUUCACUUUUUUCCUUACAAUUGUUUGUUUUUAAUUACUUAAAGUUGCACCUGGAGCUUAGUUGAUUUCCUUCAAGAUCGGAGACACUCUUAGGCUUGAUGGAAACACGAAUUGGUUUGGUUCGGACAUUAUUUGCCGCAGUGAAGGCAAUUAGUUUAUUUCCACAUUUUGGUUUACAAAAUGAAAUUGAGGACACUUAAGAUUUUAGAUACUAUCAAGAAUUUACUUUUCCAUGCUAAAUAUUUGGCUGAAGUGAUGAUUCAGUAUUACAUAAGCAGCGGCAGCAGCAGCACUAGCAGCAUAAUCAAUAGAAAAGAAGAAGAUAAAGAAUAAGAAGAAGAAGAAGAAGAAAAAGAACAAGCAAAUAGUAGCAGCACCACAAAUUGUGUAGCAUGCAUCUAUGGUAUGUUGAUUUUCCAAAUAUUCUAAUAUGCAAACUCUAUAUAAACUUAAGACUAUUGAAUAUGUGCUAUAAUUAUCUUACAUACAUUGAUUUUAAUUUUAAUUCUUUGUUAUGAGACUCGCUAGAAGCUAAUUUGUUGGAACUAGAUAAGAUUAUGUUGAUUAAUGCACCUCUUCUUUAUACUCUUGGACAUAUAAUUUUCUCUAUCACUAUUUGCAUUGGACUUUUUACCUCCAAGAUUCAGUUUGUAUAUUUGCACUAUAAGUUUUAUCUCUCAUGUUCAACUUCUAUUGUUCGAUGUAAUUAUGAAUAAUUUGAAAGUCUCUUCUCUGAUAUUUUAUUGUGCCCUUUUGGCCUGGCUUUUGUCGGUCCAAAACACGUACUUCUCCAUAAUUGGCCAUUUGGGAAUGUCGCUAAACUGCAGAAGCCCUAUUGUCGGAGCCUUUGUGGUAAGAAAAUUUUGGUUAACCCUAAUCUUUGCAAGUUUUUAUUUUGUUCCCUAACCUAUUUUUAGAGAUCAAUUUUAUUUUACUUGAAAUUUAAAACUUGAAUUCAUAUUUAUAUUUAUAUUUAUAUUUUAAAUUCAAAUUUUAAAUUUGAAUUAUAUAUUGAAUUAAAAAUUUUAAAUUCACAAUUAGAUUAAUGACUUCAAAUUUAAAUUUUAAAUUUAACUUUGGUUCAAAUUUUGAAUUUAAAUACUACUUUUGAAGUUGAAUUAUAAAUUUGAUUAUUGGUUCAGAUUUUAAAUUUGAUAUUUGAUUUUGGAUUAUAUUUUAUUUUAAAAUUCAAAUUUCAAACUUAAUUUGAAACUUUGAUUUAAGUGUGUAAUAAUUUAACAGAGUUCUUAUCAAACAGUUUUCUAUAGCAGACAAUGCUUUGAUAAUAAAAAAUACUAAAUGCUCUACAGCUUUUUUUUAACAAUAAUGCACUAUUUCAUAUAGUACCUUUUCAACCGUAUUACUCUAUAUAAGCAAGCCAAACAGGCCCAAUGCCGACAAAUUUUUAUUGCAACAAUAUCUAUUAACCGCAACACAUGGGGUACUUUCUAAGCUGACCAUGCACAUAAUAUUACAUUUAACUUUGUUAAAAAAAUUGUAUUAUAUUAACAUGAAUACUUGAUGGCAAAAGGAGUAAAAGAGAAAGAAGAAGAAAUGUUUGGUGAUUACAUUGAUUAAUCCUCAGUAUCAGCAUAUCUACUGUUUUUAGUNAUAUAUAGGACUAUCUGGGGUCUCACAAUCUCCCCUCCUUUAAGCCCUGACGUCCUCGUCAGGCUCAGACUCACAAGUACCAGGCAAUGUGAGACUCAUCUCGCUAGCCCGUCAUCCAGACCCUAGCUCAGCCGAGACUCAUCUCACACUUCCGGCUGGUAAUUGGCUCUGUAUUACAACAGAAUUAGAUUAUAGGGACACAUGUUUGGAACACUUUUGAGUAAGUGUCCUAUUUAUUCUAAAACUUAAAAAAAUAUCUACUAAUGCCUAAAUAUAAAGCCCAAUCCAACCAAAAAUAAAAGAUUACUCUACUCAACUCACCACACCUAGUUCAUUUGGCCCGAUUAUAAACAGAAAAGAAAAAAAAAAAGAAAAAUCAAUUACCAUCUUUUCUUCUCUCUUCACUCAAUCUACUGAAAUUCUAGACGAAGAGCCUUUCCUGUCGUCCUUCUCCGCCACCGCAGCCAACGAGAUAGAGUUUCGGCGGUUGCUAAAUGCUUAAAUAAGUGUUGGUAAAUUAGCAGCACUCUUUUAGGUUAUAGCGACACUCUUUAAUUGUUACUAUGUACCUAGCGACCCCACAUAUAGCAACACUUUUUAAAAGUGUUGACAUGUACCUAUAUUUAAAAGUGUCGCUAUAGACCGUUUUUGUUGUAGUGCUGAUACCAUCUGUAACGCCCCGACUUCCCAGAGGGUCACCCAUCCUAGGACUACUCCUAUCCUAGCACGCUUAACUCUCUUAACCUCUUGGUCUAGCCACCACCCAAAAUGCUUAAGCCGGAUUAAGAGUUUAGCCCUAUUAUAUCUCAUAUAUAGGACUAUCUGGGGUCUCAUUGGAUUUAUAAGAGACUUAGACACUAGUAAUAAUAACUGGGCUUAAGCAUUUUGGGCUGUUGGCUGGGCCCAACGAGUUAUUGUUGCUAGUGAGCUGGGUCGUUACAGGUACUUUCUAAGCUGACCACGCACAUAAUAUUACAAUUAGCUUUGUUAAAAAAAUUAUAUUAUAUUAACAUGAAUACUUGAUGGCAAAAGGAGUAAAAGAGAAAGAAGAAGAAAUGUUUGGUGAUUACAUUGAUUAAUUCUCAGUAUCAGCAUAUCUACUGUUUUUAGUUGGAAUUUUAUUUUUUUAGGUUGCAUUGUCUACAAAUCCUUUUAGAACCAUGUUUUUUUUUUUUUUUCUAAAUUUUAGAUUUAUACCAUAUAUAAACUAUGUUUCCUUUUAAGUUUACAUCAUCUUACUGUAUUUUGAGCUAUUUUUAUUUAGUUUGAGAGCUGGUUGGUGUUUGAUACAAAACCCCUGCAUGCACUUAUACACGUCUAAUUUAUUGAGUAGCAUACAAGAACUUUAUCUUUUAUUUUAAAGAGCAUUACCUUUCCAAAGAAGAUCGUCUCUUGAAGUUUCAAUAUGAGGGAGGAAUCCAAAAAUUCUGUUGGAUACUGAAAGUGAAACAGAGGAGGAAAUAUCAACCAAAUUAAAUACUAAAAAUAUGAGUUGCAUUGCUGAGAAACCUUGGAAAGAACAUGGUCCGAAAGAAUUUAGCUUGAUUCUAAGUAAAAUCUGUGAAAAUGAGUAGGUUAUGAAGUUGGAAGCCAAGGUAAAGUAAUUUUUAAUUCUUUCUCUAAUUUUAUUAUAUUUUCGCUCCUGAGUUGCAAUUCUAAACUUUGGAGGUUAAAAUUAUUUGUAACUAUAGGUUCCCUCCUUCGCCAUCUUGCAAUAGAUAUACAAAUUUUGAUUUCUAUAUCAUUUUCGUUAAUUGUUAUACACAUUCAUUUGCUUCCACGAAAUCUUUCCGCCGCAUCGCGCGGGUAUCUUCACUAGUAUAUAAUGGAAAAGGGUGAGAGAGUCCACCGUGGACUCUCUCUCACGCAGUCCACAAAGUGAGGAUGAUCUUGUGGACCGCGUGCUCAAAAAGUUCGUGAGCUGCAAUUUCCAUUCACGGGUUUUCGUUUUCCGCAGGCAGCAUGCGAAAACGAAAAGUCGAUUUUUUCUUCAAAAUCUGUAAACUAACUUUUCUAAAAAAGAUUUUACGGACAACCAAACCUGGGAAAAACGGAGGUAUUUUACAGGGAUCCAAACCCACCCUAACUUUUUCUACUCUCAAAUCUCAAAUUUUCUUAAUUAAACCAUAAGAAUUUUUUAAAAUUGAACAAAUUCUUCUUAGAAAAUUUAUCCUUAGCCGACCAUUCCUAGAGCAAGUGGGAAAGAGCUUGGUGUAAUCCUAGUUGAUUCACAUUUUCAGCUAAGUUUAUUUCUAAAUGAAAUAAACGAAGCGGGUAGCGUGCUAUCUAUCUCUCUAAAAAAAAAAAAAAAAAAAAAAAAAAAAUCCUUAAGCUCUAAAUACAAGCUCUCAAUCUCAAGACAACAUAUAACUCUCAAUUUCUAAUUAUAUAUUUUUUAAAAAUAUUUUUAGUCAAUUAUUGUUUAGUAGUUGUUGUGUUGUUUUUUUAAAAACAACGUCGGACGAAUUUUUCAUUAGAUUUUUUAAUACUAAUUAUACUCCUAAAUAGUACAUCAGCAAUCAAUCAUCCUACUGUAGCUAGCAUUUUUAUAGAGGAUGGUGAGAGUCCACAACUUCAAGAAAAUAUUUUUGAUGCAAAUUCUAAAAGGCAUCAUAAAAGAUAACAAGUGAAUAAUAAAAGUACUUCAAAAUCAAAAAUUUGAAGGAUAUGAUCUGCACCUUUUCUUCCCUUUACUGAGGUUUCAAAAUCACAAAGUGGAUUCCAAAAACCUUUUGUUGGUUUCUUAGAACCCAAACUAUCUUUCAUCCGAAUCUUUUGCUCAGGUUUCAAAGCCUAACAUUUGGGUUCUGAAAUGUAAUGCUUUUAGGCCAAAGUUCGCUUUAACUUUUCUUUUCAUCUUCUUUUCUCUUCCUUAGAAAAUACAAUUUUUAAAAAAAAUUAUUUUAAAUAAUUAUUCAUGUAGCAAAAGUACUUGUAAAUAGUGAAUAAAUAUUUAUGUCAAAUGGUUGGUGAUUAUGCAGCUAUUUCGAGCAAUUAACGUUCAUAUUCUUCAAAGUUGUAAGGCAAUAGCAGCAGCAGUAAUAGUAAAAUUAGUAAAAAUAUGUUUUUAUCUUUGUUAGAAAGCAAAAACAAAUCGAUUUUAUAACCACAACUAACGAAUUUUAGUUUUAUUUACAAACCGCGUGAUUUUUUAAAUUUUUUCACCAAACAAGAAUGAGAUAAGUUUAACAUUUUAGUGUUGUGGAGUACAUGGAAGUACAUAUUUUGUACUUUUGCUAUAGUCCAUGAUCGACCUAUCUUGUAGGUUUCGCCAGUGGCAUCAAGUUGCAGAUGGAAGAAUACUAGAUAAUUAUAGAAUUCAGCUCAGAAAUGAUGUAUUCGAAGUGUUUGAAUACCUAAAAGAUCGGCGAGCUACCGAUUGAAGAAUACAAGAUAAAAGAGGUCUCGAGUAUACAUCAUCAGAUACAAUAGAAUCAGUUGUUUAAGAAUAUGCCAACACUCGUGGCAUAUUGAAUUAAGCCAACUUUUUUAAGUAAAUAUAAUGUAAUGGAGAGAUAAUAGAAUUAGAUUAUUAUUAUUUUUUUAAUAUAUAUUUGGUGGUUGGUUGUUUAAGUCAUUCCAUUCUAUUAAUAUAUAUUUCUUAAUUUUUUUCAUUCCUCGAAUGCAAUAUAAUUAAUUUAAAAUUUAAAAAUUUUAAAUGCUGCGUCGGCCCAGACGGCCCAGACGGCCUACAUUACACCCCUAACAGUGUGGGAGGUAGAGUAUUGAAAGGAUGUUUUCAUUUUUAUUCUAAAUAAAUUAUUUGAUUAUCACUUAAAUUCUUUUUGUAUUUUCCCAUACAUUCCCUUCAAAGAAAAAGAAAAAAAGGAAAAACCUAUAUUAUAAUCUCAAGCACCAAUUAUAUACCCUAUAUCCUUAUGACAUCCAAAUAUUCUUUCAUACCUUUUAUCCCAUUUGUAAAAUCUGUCUGCUAUUUCUAGACAGUAUAGAAGAGAUGAUCGAAUCUGACUUUUCUACAGUUGAUAUUGGAAACUAUAUUUUAUUAUUUUUAAAUGUUUUAUGUAUGACAAAAUUAGUUUGAGUUGUUGGUGCUAACUAUUAAUUCUCAAAACUCGAGCUAUUAAAAUUAUGCAACCAAUUCACUUAAAACAUAUAGAUUUAGUAUUCAUGGAUCUCGAUUGUGAUUCGGCCACAUCAGUCUCACGCGCAUUUCAAACAUAAUUCGGCACAAAUUAGCCUUCCGCCACAUAGCAGGAUGCUAACAGUAGGACACAAAUAUUAAAACUGUGAAUACUGUAGUACAAAAUGUGACAGGGAGCUACAUUCAUUUUAGCCCAAUAAACAUUUUUUGAGAGAAAGAUGGCAUUCCAUUCGUUUUGUUUAAUUUUUUCAAAAAUAAAUUUAGCUAAAAAUGUGAAACAAUUAGACUUCGUACAGAUAUCAACCAUCAAGUCUUUUGCUACUUGCACUGGUGACGUUAUUUUAAAGUAAAGUUUAAUACAUUACGCGGGCGUACAUACGUCAUGCCCGUGUUAGAGCCCACACUCUUUUUGCAGUAUCGAAAAGCCCAUCCAAUGCUGGGCCUGCUUUUGGUCAACCAAGUGUUUGAACCUCACAUAUCCCCCCCAUGUUUCUGAUUUCAAGAAUUUGUGAAAAUUGAUCAGCAUGCACAUGAGGAAAACUUUAAUCAAGAGAAUAUUUUAUAUAAACAGAGUAAAUUGUUUAAUUUUAUCAAAGACGAAACAAAAUUAUUUUACUUGAAAAUGGUAAUUGGUUCUAACAAUCGGCAGAAGAGAAUGUCAAUUUAUUUUCUGCCAUCACCAUUAAUGUUGUCCAUCUCAGUAACUUGCCUAUUGCAUGAUACUUUCUUGUAAGUACCUGAUGAAGAAUAGGAUCUGUUUGUUUUACUGAAGAUGAAGUUCAGAUUGACAUAGAUUUUUUUAUGAAAAAAUAAUUUUCCUUCCGUUGUUUGUUUGCGUAGCUACGAAACUAAAGUUUUCCUAAUUUUAUUAUUUGUUCGGUAAAAAAAAGAAUGGUGUAAAAACUGAAGGCGUGAUAGAUGAUCAAUUAAUAUCUUAAUUGUUUUCACCUUUUUUUUUUUUCUGUAAUUGAUUUCAAUCUGUAUUUUGGAAACUUUUAGUUUGGAUCGAAUAUAAAACUAUGAUGAAAAUCAUCAAACAACAGAAACGGACAUUUAUGAUCGAAAAUCACUUUACCCCACUCCAUUUUGGUGAAACAAAUUUUAAGACAUUUUUUUUUUAUCCAAAAAGACUUAAAUUUUACAGUUUGGUACAGCUUUUCUGUGCAUUGUGGAGCCAAAGUGGUGGAGUCGAGCGCCAAAUUAAGUCCGACACGCGCCAUUGUCUCCUGCUAGUACAUUUGGAUCAAAGACCAGGUCGAAUUUCUAAACCAGAAGUUCAUUUGCACCCGGACAGGUUGGGUGGAACAUAUAAAAUUAGAUCCAUCUCGCAUGCAAUGACGCAAACAAAUAUAGUCAUAAUGAGCUAGUUUCAAUUAUUUAAUUGUACACAAUUUAGCGCUUAGUGACACUAAAAUGUUUUGCUUAUGUCUUAUGCCACAAAGUGUUGGUACUUAAGCUAAAGAUCUCCUUUGCGGAACCCAUUGAUGAAAAACCAAGCUCAUUAUUGUGUAUAUAUAUAUAUAUAUAUAUUAAUGUUCCCUCUUAAUUAAACAAUAGAGAGGUUACUAACUACAUGAUUCAAUAGUUAAAGCGCCGUAAUUUAAGGUGAACCAAUGAGAGUGAGGCACUUGUACAGAAAAAAAAGAGAAUAAUUCGACUUGCCAAAAGCAUUUUUUACCUUCUAUCACAAGUCAAAAGAUCAUGAAAAGAGUUAAAAUAUAUAUCUAAUUAUUCUUCCAUAAAUCGAGGUACAUGCAUUGUCUCCAUUUCUCACUAAACAAGAUUAACUAAAGUUAAUUAAUGAGUUAAAACCCCUACAAGGUGUGCAAACAAAAACCUCCAAAAAUGCGGAACUAGUUAAGAACCAAAAAAGAUGCUAGAUCACGGUUCAACUGGGGCUUGCCCAAUAGUUCAACCGAGCGAACAAGUGACAUAUAUCACCACAAUAUCAUAUAUAAAUAAUAAAUUAUUAAUUUUCUAUAUAUAAAAUUAUAGAGAUAAAUAAGAUAAAUAAAUAUAUUUUACAAAAAUUCUUCAAGAAAAUCUUAAUCAAAUUGAUUAAACAAUAUAUCCUACCGGCAAUCAUAUAUAGCUAGUAAGUGAUAGUCCAAACCGGUCUAAUUAAAUUCUGACCAAUUCACCAAUUUAUUGGUUGAACCAUCAGUUCAAAUAGGUCAAUAUGUGCUUUAAAAUUUCUGGUUUUGGAGUCAAACUGAACCAUCCUAGGGAUUAUCUCACGGUCCGACCGGUUCGAUUGGCCGGUUCAACCCAGUUUUAAAUUUUUAAUACGUGCACAAAACCUGCAGGGGAGAGAGCCAGAGUCCUAGAUAUUCUUGGAGAAGUUAUGUUUUUUUUUUUUUUUUUUUUUUUUUUUGAGAGAUAGGUAGCACGCUACCCGCUUCGUUUAUUUCAUUUAGAAAUAAACUUAGCUGGAAAUUUGAAUCAACUAGGAUUCGAACUUGGGUCUCGAGUACCAACCACCAAGCCCUUGGCCACUUGCUCUAGGGACGGUCGGUUUGGAGAAGUUGUGUUAAGGAGGAGAAAGAUAAAAUUAAGGCUAAAUUGCACUUUUGGUCCUCAAAUUAUGAGGCGGAAUAUAUUUUGGUCCUUAUAUUUUAUUUUAUUGUAAUUUCUAUCUAUUGCGAUUAUUAAAAUCAAGUCCCACAAUCUUAAUUAGUUAACUAUAUGACAAUAUGUUGGUGAUACGACAAUAAUAUAAUAUAUAUUAAUUAUUAUUUGCCAUAAAAUUCGUACGACAGUAUAACAUCAUUUCAAAUUUAGUAACAUCAUCAUUUAAAUAAUUAAAUUGUCCUGUAAAAAUAGAUUGCAAUAGUUUAGAAUGUGUGAGCCGGAAACUAUAAUAAAUUAAUAUUUCAUGAUCUAACAUAUCAUGCAUCUCAUAACUUAACAACCCAAAGUAUAAUUUAGUCGACAAUUAACCAUCAAACUGUUCGUAAGGAUCUUUGUAGCUUCCUAGCAAGAUAUCCACUUUGUGUGCUAUUUUUCAAUUAACUAUAUAGCCUGUUUGAGGAAUAAAGUAAUAAUUAUUGGUAACUAAUAAAGGUAAUGGAAAGCAAGCAUGUACUAUUGUUUAAAAUUAAGACCAGCCAAUGUGGACACACUACAUGGCAAUAGUUUUUACUAGAAAAAAUUAAUAAUAGUAGCUUAGUAGCAGUUCGACUGGUUUCUAAACUAGCAUUUCAACCUAGAAAAGCAACGAACAGGCAUAUAUUUGAUCUGCAUAUAUCAUAUAGAAAAGCCAAAAUAGUAGCUGAACUACAGUAAGAAGCUCUUCAAGAAUUCAUGAAAACGCAAAGGAGUUGUUAGCAUUUUCUUCAAACAACGAUAAUCAAACAGCAUUCCAAGUGUACGUACUUCAAAUAAUAAACUUAUUAUUAAAAACUUUAAUAGUGAAAAUUUUAAUAAUAAUUUUAGCUGGUGCUAAAAGCUAGUUAUGUAGUAGAAAAAAGUUUUUAGCAAAGCAAUUAAUAGGAAGGUGCAAUGUUCCAUCGCAAUGACUUUAACAAGAGAGAGGCAUUAUGUACCCUUCCCAUGCAUCAAGGAGCAAAAAGGACUAUGAUUAGAACUUAAGACAAGGAAGAUGGAAUAAUUGAGAUUUGUCAUGAUUAAGUAGCACGCUAAUGGUACGCUGAUGUGUCUGCAUGGGCCUCGAUCUGCAUGCAAUUGUAAUAGUACGCCUGGUGUCUGUGUGGGCCUUCCCAUGCUAUUUGCAAAGAAAGCAUAUAUAUAUAUAUAUAUAUAUAUAUAUAUAUAUAUAUAUAUAUAUAGAGUGCGGCUAGGGUGCUUUUGGAAGCACGGAGCGCUCCGUGCUUCCACUUUGUUUUCGAUGUUCGGACUUUCAAAUCGACGAUCGGCUCCGUUAGACUUGAUCUAGAGUAUUUGAAGUAUCUAGAAAAUAAAUUUUGCGAUUUUUCGAUAUCAUUUGCCUAGUGAUCGAAGUGGCUCAAAAUCAACGGCUGAAAAUAAAAAUCUCACAAAAUAUGAUGAUAUGACAUUAAAAUUUUAGAUCGAAGUUAUUGAUCUUGUUUUAUAUGGUAUAAAGAAUUUUCUAUCAAAAUUUCAUGUGAUUUGGAUAUUUCUACACCGUUAAACUUGCAACCGGCUCACCACGACCGUUAAAAUUAUUGAUUUUGAGCCCCUUCGAUCACUAGGCAAAUGAUAUCGAAAAAACGCAAAAUUUAUUUUCUAGGUACUUCAAAUACUCUAGAUCGACUCUAACGGAGCCGAUCGUCGAUUCGAAAGUCCGAACAUCGAAAACAACUUGGAAGCACGGAGGGCUCCGUGCUUCCAAAAGCAUACCAGCCCACUCUCUCUCUCUCUCUCUCUCUCUCUCUCUCUCUAUAUAUAUAUAUAUAUAUAUAUAUAUAUAGUAGGUCUUAUGUGCUAGGAGCACGGAGGCCUUCGUGCUCCUAAGUCGUUUUCGAUGAUGGAGCUUCCGAGUCGAAGAUCAAUUCCUUUAGGCUUGAUAUAGCGUAUUCGAAGUAUCUAGAAAAAAAAAUUUUGCGAUUUUUCGAUAUCAUUUACCUAGCAAUCGAAAGGUUCAGAAUCAACGGCUGAAAAUAAAAAUCUCACAACGAGUGGUGAUAUAGCACUAAAAUUUUCGAUCAGAGAUAUUGAUCUUGCAGUAAAUAGUAUAAAGAAUUUUCUAUCAAAAUUUCAUCUGAUUUGAAUACUUCUACAUUGUUAAACUUGCAAACUGUGAGAUCCCUAGUGUUCAGCUGUGGAGGCUUGCCGACAGCUCUGGAGAGUGUCGGGACAAGUCCGAGUCGCGUUGGCGUCAAAUAGACGCAAAACGGACUCGGUGCGACGCGAUGGCAGCUUGUAGCGAAGAAAUCUGCAAAACAGCAGAUUACUCUGCUUGCUGUACCGGUACAACCAACACGCUGUAGCGGUACAACCAGCGCGCACUGAUAUAGCUGUUCUCGGGUUGGCUCUUGUACCGGUACAGGAGCCCGUGUACCGGUACAAAGGAAAAGGGGGUAGGUAAAGGGUGGUUUGGUCUUUUUCCACCUCGUUCAUAUCACCCUUUCCCUCUCUCUCUAUUUAGGUCUGUGUAGAGCAGAGAGAGGGAGUUCUUUCUUCUUCUCCUCUCUCUCUAGCUGGGUUCUUGAGCACGGUGGAACUCGGGUGAAGCUUGGAUUCGUCGCCGACGUCGCGUCGUGGAGCCAUUCGAGCACACUUUCGACGUUGUGUUGCUGCGAGAAGGUCGGGCGAGUGUGGCUUUUCGCCAUCCUUGACGUCGUGCUGAUUCUAGGUACAUAUUGGGUAGCGCCCACGAGUGCCACUCCGGAGUCAGGCUUUGUGCUUUCGCGUUGGUGUCGCUCAUGCCAGUUGGACUUGCUCUCCACAGACCAGUUAGUGUGGAGGUAGCUGGACAGUCGCAACGGGGCAGGGACGGGUGUAUUCACAGUCCCAGGGACAGGUAUGUUUACAGUCCCGAUUGGAUUGGGUUAGAUUUGACAUUUCCUACAGUUGAUUAGUGUUGAGCAUGAUAGUGUAGUGAUCGAUAGCGGUAGAGUUUACUUCCUGCUUUUCCGACUACUCUUGCUCCUUUCUGUAGACUCAGUCAGUGGACCGAUGUUGUUUUGGGCGGUACCCACUGAGGACUACUUGUUUUUACAGUAGUUCUCACGCCCAGUUGUUACUCCUGUUUUGCAGAGCCACAGGUUUUGGCUGCUGCGCCUUCCGCGGACCAGGAUCGAGGCAAGGGCAUCGCGAGUUAGAGCCCUACCCGACGAGCUAAGCUAGAGGCACCCCUACUGCAGGUAGAUGUUUUGUCUGAGUUUAUGUACAUAGCUUACUUAACUCGCCAGUGCGAGUAACUCUGUAUUUUGGAUUUGGACAAUGUAUAUGAAACUCAGUUUGUUUAGCUUUUGUUUAUUUGAGCAGCUCUAUGCUACUGUUUGUAGUAUUGUAUAUCUACAGGUACAGCUGUCACUUCGUAUACAGGGGAAAAUUCCUUUGUAUACGGUGGAUUUGUCGGCGUGCCUGGGGAACGAGACAUCCGGGGCGUGACACAAACAAUAUACAUCAACUUUUAAAAGUCGUUGAUUUUGAACCCUUUCGAUUGCUAGAUAAAUGAUAUCGAAAAAUUGCAAAAUUUAUUUUCUAGAUACUUUAGAUACGUUACAUCAAGUCUAACGAAGCAGAUCGACGAUUCAGAAGCUCUAUCAUCAAAACAACUUAGGAGCACGGAGGCCUCCAUGCUCCUAAUAGCACACAAGACCUACUAUAUAUAUAUAUAUAUAUAUAUAUAUAUAUAUAUAACCACUCAAAGGACUGAGGAUUCCAAGAGUUUUGUAAAACGAUUUGGACUCUAGUGGUCUAUUGUACCACUUUCCCAACUCAUCUUUGAAAAAUUAAGGCGACAACUUUUACGCGUGAUCAAGAACUAGAAAUCAAAUGGCACAACAUGCAACCUUGUUAACAGCUAGCAUAUCCACAGCAGUAAGUAAGAUGGAAAUUAUAAGGUACCGAACUUCUGUUGUAAGGUACCGAACUUCUAAAAUUAUGAAGUNUAUAUAUAUAUAUAUAUAUAUAUAUAUAUAUAUAUAUAUAUAAUUGAGCUCCUAUGCUUUUAAAAGUACCAAGUUAUUGGUGCUUGUAGAUUUUUAGCUAUUGGAUUAAGAAAUAUGCGGUUAGGAUGAUGUGGGCACCCUAGGGUUGAGUGGGUGGUUGGUUGAAUAGUAUAAUCUAAUGGUUGAAAAUGAUCCGACAAGUAGAUCUAACGGUAAAAAACUUACAAGCACCAAGUGUUUGAUGCUUUUACAAGCACCAUAGCUGGACUAUAUAUAUAUAUAUAUAUAUAUAUAUAGUCAAAUUAUGGUACUUUUAUAAGCACCGCAUAUUUGGUGCUUACAAGUUUUCUAUCAUUAGAUUUAUCUCUUUAAUCAAUUUAAGCUCUUAGAUUAUAUUAUUUUACCAAUCACCCACUCAAUUCUAGAAGAUCUCGAUUAUCCUAACCCCACAAAUCUUCUUUCAAAGGCCGAAAAUUUAUAAGCACCACUGAUUUGAUGAUUUUAAAAGCAUGGGAGUCCAAUUCUCACACUCUCUCUCUCUCUCUCUCUCUCUAUACAUAUAAUCAUAUAUGUAUAUAUAUACAUUUAUACAUAUAUGUAGGGUUGAGUGGGUGGUUGGUUGAAUAGUAUGAUCUAACGAAUAAAAAUUGUCAAAAGAAUAGAUCUAACAGUAAAAAACUUACAAACAACAAAUACUUGUUGUUUUUAAAAACACCAUAGUCGAACUAUAUAUAUUAUUUGCUGUGAAAAUUAAUUUGACUAUACCAAAUUUCUAUUUGAAAGUCAGAAUAAGUUAUUUGGCAAGAAUUUUCUAUUGUGAAUAGAAAUCAGCAGAAUAACAAAGAUUAUAUUUUAAUGUCGAAAUAUGAUAUUCAGUAAUAACUCAUUCAGUAUUUUUAUUUUUUUGUGAUUGAAAGCUAGGAGUUUUAUUUUUUAUCCUUUAAAGAUUUUGGAUUGACAAUCUGUUAGGAUAGUAUAUUCCACCUAUAAGGUGAUUUAUCUUAUUCUGAAAAAAUAACUUAAAAAUUGAGUAUGUAUGAUACCUACUCUAGAUAUUUAAUCACCCUCCCUUUCUAUUAAGUAGUACAUGCUUCUAGAGUAAAUUUAAAACAUAUGGCAAAUAUGAUUAUGCAUCCAAAUAAAGCCUUAUAAGAUAUUCAAUAAUAACUUAUGCAGUAUGAAGCUUGUGCUACAUAAUGGAAGCAAAAGUAUUUUGUUCGUCGAAAGGUCUUAGCAUCCAUAAUUUGGCAAGAUAGUAUAUUUUUCCUAAAAGAUGACUUAUCAUAUUCCAAAAAAAUAAGUUAGAGAAUGAAUAUGUUAUCCAUUCUAGAUAUUUAGUUAUACUCAUCUAUCAAAUACUGUAUGCUUCUUGAGUAAACCGAAAAGAUGUACUGAAUAGGAUAUUCAUAUAUUUUAUUUUUUUGAAAUAAAAUAAAUAAUCUCACAGAUAAAGUUUCUUAUCCUAGCAAAUUAUGAAUGUCAGAUUCAUUUUAGGGCCAAAAAAUAAAGUUUACCUUCCAAUUACACAAAAAAAAUUUCAUGUGGAUUGAGUUAUCAUCAGAUAGCACAUUCCGUUACUCAAAGUAAAGCCUUAAAAAAACUUUAAAGCACUGUAUAAAAUUAACUAACCAAGAUUAGGGUAGCACGUGGAAUUAAUAUUAAGUGUGGUAGGGGUCAUGGAUAAACUAGGUAGCACGUGCCAUUGAUCCCUUAUGGAUGCAUGGUUAAAAAAAGGAAAACUUCAAAUACCCCCUUGUAGUUUCACUUUUUUUCACUUUAGUACCUUAUUGUUUAAAGUGUAUCAAGUUAGUGUCCUGUGGUUUCGCACUUUCUCACUUUAAUAUUCUGUGGUUUAAAGUGUAUCAAGUUAGUACCCUGUGAUUUCGCACUUUUUCACUUUAGUACCAUGUGGUUUAAUAUUUCACUAAGAAAAAAAUAAAAUCACAGGAUACUAACUUGAUAUAAAAAUAAAAUCACAGGAUACUAACACAUUUUAAACCACAUGGUACUAAAGUGAGAGAGUGCGAAACCAAAGGAUACUAACUUGAUACAUUUUAAACCACAGAGUACUAAAAUGAAAAAAUACGAAACCAUAAGGGGGGUUUUUGAAGUUUUCCCUUAAAAAAACAGGGCAAAAAGUGUGCUUAGUUAUUAGGCUUGGUGUUGUCAACUAAUCUGGAACAACUCUUUAGUGCUCUGCCGACAUAAGCUUUUAAUACACUAUGUUAAAAUAUUUAAGAGGUUUCGUGUAAAUUUUAUGAAAAUAUGUACAAAGGGCCCCGACGGAUUUCAUUACAAUUUUUAUCAGAAGUGCUGGGAUAUAGUGACAUUAUUUUUGCAAAGAGAUAUUUAAACCUUUAAUUUUAAUAGUCCAACUUGUAAACUUUAUUGAGUAAUUUAAUAGACCCCUGAUAUUAAUAGACCUCUUUUAUGAAUGAGACGACCUUAUUAAAAAUAAUUGAAAAUUUAGUUCCCAAAUAAUUUCAAUAGUGCAAAUGAAGUCUAACGGAGCCGAUCGUCGAUUUGAAAAUCACAUCAUUGAAAACAACUUAGUAACACUGAGGCCUUCGUGCUACCGAUAGUAUAUCAGCCUAGCUCUAUAUAGAGUUAGUACCAAGUGCUUUGUGCUAUUAGAUUUUCGGGCUUUUAAUAAAGAGGUGUGAAGUUAAGAUGAUUGCUGCCCCCUAAAAUUGAAUAGGCAGUUGGUUGAAUAGUAUGAUCUAGCAGGUGGAAAUGGUCAAGGGGUAGAUCUAACGACAGAAAGCUCGAUAGCACCAAGCAUUUGAUACUAUCGAUAGUAUAGUAGCCGGACUAUAUAUAUAUAUAUAUUCCGGCUACUAUACUCUUAUGAGCACGAUCGUAUUCGUACUCAUAAGUUGUUUUCGAUGAUAGAGCUUCCGUAUCGACGAUCCACACCGUUAAACGUUACCUAGAGUAUUUAAAACGUCUAGAAAUCAACUUUUAGAAUUUUUUAAUAUCAUUUACCUUACGAUCAAUAGCUCGCAAAAUUGAUAAUUUUUAACGGACGGUAUGUGAUACUUGCUAGUUUAACGGUGUAAAAGAAUCGGAAUAGCUUGAAAUUUUGAUAGAAAAUUCAAUUCAUUACCUAGAUAAAGAUCAGUAACCCCGAUCUUAAAUUGAAGGAUCCGAUCAUCUAUUUUUAGAACGUCGUUCGAUUUUGACCGUUCAUUUUAUAUCCGUUUGAUGGACUUUAUAAUGCUUUCGAAAAAUUACGAAAUUUAUUUUCUAGGAGUUUCAAAUACUCUAGAUCGUGUUUAACGGUGUGGAUGGUCGAUUCGGAAGCCCCAACAUCGAAAACUACUUAUGAGUACGAAGGGUUCUAUACUCAUAAGAGUAUUAUAGCCCUACUCUCUAUAUAUAUAUAUAUAUAUAUAUAUAUAUAUAUAUAUAUAUAUAUAUAUAUUAUAAUAUAUUUAUAUGCGGCCUCUGUCUCUCAAAGCAGCGGAGGCCUCUUUGUUGCUCUCUCAGCCGCUUCGAUGCUAUUUUGAAUCGAGUCCUCGAUCGCCUCCGUUAGAUUUAAUCUACACUCAUUUAAGUUUCUAAAAUAAAUUUUUGGCAAUUUUUGAUAUCCUUUGCCUAGUGAUGAAAGUUCAAAAUCUAUAUAUUUUUAAUGUUAUUUAUCUGCCUUUUUUCAGUUUAACGGUGCGGUAAUUUCAAUAUACAAAUUUUUGAUACAAAUUUUAUAUAUCUAACAAAUCAAUAUUUCUGAAUCGAUACAUUUAGUAUAUUCACUACUUCUAUAGGAUUUUUAUUUCAAAGCCAUUAAAAAUAGAUUUUGAAUCCUUUCGCUUGCUAAUAAUAUACAAAAUCGCAAAAUUAUUUUAGAAACUUCAAAUACGCCAGAAUCAAAGUUAACAGCCGAUCGUCGAUUCGCGAUAAUUCAUUAUCAUAAAACCUCGGGCCGCAUCGAUCCUCCGUGCUCCACUGAUAGCACAGCUCCUAUCUCUCUCUCUCUCCUCUCUCAAAAUUGAGCGAUACACUGAGAUUCACAUGCACGUAGAAAGUCGACCGCGAGGCCUAGUGCCUCUUGUUAAGCUUCUAUUCCCAAUUAAAAUUGUUAAUGUGAACUAUGGUACCCGAUCCCACCACAAAAUAUCGCUGAGAAAGAUCCAUGAGCCUCCCCCAUGAAGUCUCACAACUUCGUCGACUGUAUGCUGGCUAUCUUCUUUUCUAUCGUCCUCUCAGUUCCCCCACCAACGUAUUGAUCGAAGCAAAAUCAUCAGUGUGCCGAUUUGUCAACUCUCCGGCUCCAUAACCACUAUACAAUCGGUACAAUUCCACCUUGUGUACUACAGAUUUCACAGCUCGUCAGCAAAGCUUCGCAUUGCAAGUUUCCCCAUUGUUCCAGCUCUACAUGGCUUUCUCACGGUAGCUCUUGCAAUAUCCCGCUGCUCGAUCUCACUACAUCCUCUCUCAAUCGACGCCCUUAUACACAAUCUCUCUCUAAUAUAAUAACUAAUCAUUAUUAUUAUCAAUUAUUUUACUAUGUUGGCAGCUCACUGUGUGCUAAUUAAAAAGCAUGCUAGCCGGGCCACUCUUGUGCUCUCAGAAGCAGGAGCCUCUGUGCUCUCUCGAAGCGCGCUUUCGAUGAUAGAAUUUCGAAUCGACGAUCGGCUCCGUUAGAUUAUUAAUCUAGCAGCAUUUGAAGUUUCUAGAAAAUAAUAUUUUGCAAAUUUUUGAUAUCAUUGCCUAUGAUUCGAAAGUUUCAACCAUCUAUAAUUUUAAAUGAGUUGAUAUCUGCGUUUUCAAGUUAACGGUGUAAAAGCUAUUCAAAUCAGAUAAAUUUUGAACAAAAUUCUUGUGAUUACUAAUCUACAACAACAGAUCAAUAUUUCUGAUCGAAAUUUUAGUUGGCUAUCAUCACGCACUUUUUAUAGACGGAUUUUUUUUCAGCCAUUAAAAAUUAUUGAUUUGAAAUCUUUCGAUUGCUAGAUAAAAUGGAUAUCAAAAAAUCGCAAAAAUAUUUUUUAGGAAACUUUCAAAUACGCUAGAUCAAGUUUAACGGAGCCGAUUGUCGAUUCGAAAAUUCCAUUACAAAAGGACUCGGGGCACGAGCCUCCUGGCUCGCUGAGCAGCACCAGCAGUUCCUACUCUCUUCUCUCGGAGUCUCUCUCGGAUCAGGGUGACGUCUUCUCUCUCCUCGGUUCUCUCUCGCUCUGUCUCUCUCUCUCGUCUCGUCCUCGUCUCUUCUCUAAUAUAUAUAUAUAUAUUAUAUAUAUAUAAUAUAUAUAUAGCAGGGCUAUCUGUGACUAUUAGAAGCAAGCAGACUGUCUAAAUUUCUACCUACCCACUCAAGUUUACUGAGUUGUUAAAAUAAAGAUGAAAGAGAUAUUAGAGAGAAAUUCACGGAGAACGAGAAAUGAAAUACCAAAUUUCUCACCCCAUACUCUGCCCUCUUUCAUUUCGUAGUCCACCCAUCAAAAUUACGACGUUAGAAGUUAGAGCGCAAAAGCUGCUGUGUGCCGCUAAUAGACAGUAACCCGCUUAUAUAUGUAUGGAAGCGCAUAAAGUAGUUUGGUGCUUCCGAUAUUUUUUAAGCCGUUAGAUCAACCCUAUUGAUCAUUUCUAACCAUUAAUAUAAUAUUAUUAAACUUAUGUGGCCACUCAACUCUAGGGGGGCCACUCAACGCAAGGUGGACUCAACCAUAGAAUCUUUAAUCCACAGCAGUAAAAAUCGGAAGCCCAACCUUUAUACUCUUUCGAUAGAUAGUAGCUCUUCACUAUAUAUAUAUAUAUAUAAUAUAUAUUGUUGAGCUAGAAUACCGCUCAAAAAGCACCAGAAAAGUGGUGCUUUUGAGUUUUAGCCAUUAGAUAGAGAUGUAGGGUUUGAUGAUGUGUGGUAGGUGGUCGGUAGGUGGAAUAGUAUUUAAAUCCAAAACUAAUUAAUAAUAAGAAGUAGAUCCGAAGCUAGACAAACUUAGAAGCAGCAAGGGUUGGUGCUUCUAAAAAUAUUCUAGCUCAAUUAUAUACUAAUAUAUAAUAUAUAUAUAAUAUAUAUAAAGAGUGAGGUCUACCUAUGCUAUCGGAAAGCAGCGGAGCCUUCCGGUGCUUCCACUCGUUUUCGAUGUUGACGACUAUCGAAUCGUCGAUCGGGCUCCGUUAAAACUUGAUUAGAGUAUUGAGCAUACCUACCGAAAAUAAGAUUUUAUGAUUUUACGAUAUCAUUUGCCUACUGAACGACGGGCUCAAAUCAACGCGGCUGAAAAUAAAAAUCUUACAAAUUGUAAGUAAUUGACAGUAUAAAGUUAAAUCAAAGAUAUUGAUCUUGUUUUAUAUAGUAUAAAGAAUUUUCUAUCAAAAUUUCACGUGAUUUGGAUAUUUCUACACCGUUAAACUUGCAAACGGCACACUACGGCCAUUGAAAUUUGUUGAUUUUGAGCCCAUUCGAUCACUAGGCAAAUGAUAUCGAAAAAUAAUAAAAUUUAUUUUCUAGGUACUCCAAAUACUCUAGAUCAAGUUUAACGCAGCCGAUCGACGAUUCGAAAGUCACAACAUCGAAAACGAGCUGGAAGCACGGAAGGCUCCGUACUUUCGAUAGCAUAGUAGCCUCACUAUAUAUAUAUAUAUAUAUAUAUAUAUAUAUAUAUAUAAAGAGAGAGAGAGAGAGUAUGGCUACUAUGCUAUUAGGCGCACAGCAGUCCUUAUGCUUUUAAAUUCGUAAUCAUUCAUCAAUUUUGAUAGAUGAUUUGAGUGAGAAAGAAAAGAGAAAUUCGAAAAGAAGAGAUAUUGAAAAAAAAAUCCAAAAAGAAGAAAAAUUGAGGGAGAAAUAAGAGAAACGGGUUAUUAAAACUAAUUAUCCAUCAAAAUUGAUUAGUGAUUAUGAACUUAAGAGUACAAGAACUAUUGUGCUCCUAAUAUUACAGUAGCCUUGCUCGCUCUCUCUCUAUAUAUAUGCUAUUCUAACACAUUAAAAAUUCAAUAAAAAUUAAAAUUAAAUUUAUACAUUCUUCAAUUCCAAUGCUUGAUUACUAUAAUUAGAAAAGAUAAAAUAGAUUUCUUUAUGUAAAGGUAUGCAAAAGUAAGUGCAAAAUAGACAAUCAAAACAGAUGUUCAAUUAAUAAUUUUCCUAUAGAAAAGUGGCCUAUUAAAUUAUUAAAAAUUUAAAAGGUUUAAUUGUUAAAAUUAAAAAUUCAAACGCUCAUUAGCGAAAGUGCUAAAGCUUAGGAGAUCUUUGAACACUUUUUCUCCCUGUUAACACUUGCUUGAUACGGAGGGUUGUCUAAUACUAAUAUACUAUUAAAAAAGUAGAGCAAAAAAAAUUUUUUUUUUUUUGGUGGGACUUUAGAACACAUAUGUUUGCUAAUUUUUUGCUAUAUAUAUAUAACACGUGAUAUUAAUUGAGUAGAGAAUAUUGUUGAUUUAACCUACCUACCAAACAUUUUUCGUACCUGAUUUGUAGUACAUUGUAGUUUCGUUAGGUUCAAUAUGCCAAAUCUAAUUAAGUACCUAUCAACAAUAAUUUCUAUUCUAAUCAAAAUAUUAAAAAUCAUGCUUCAAGUUGCCACAUCGAUAUCUUCAGGUGAGUAGUACUUAAGAGUGACAGGUAAACCAAAUUCAACCAUGAAUUUCGGUAUGUGGACCUAUCAAAAAUCCUACACAUUCAAAGGCUAUCAUGUUUGACAAUCUUAUUAACUUUUUAACUUUAAUACCAAAAAACUAAAAAACCAAUGUUAUCAAUAUACAAAAAGUUCAGGAACCUUUUUUCAAAAUAACCUUAUAUAUUUUAUAAUUGACUAAAUAACUCAAAAUUUAUUUGGCCAAAUAAUUUUUCUUUUGCAUGGCAGUUAAGCGCCACAGUGGAUGUGCCAAGCAGUACGUGAAUUUUUCGACGUAUUCAAGAAGGCAGUGAACGAUUUACGGCUGUGAGACCCCAGAUAGUCAUAUAUAUGAGAUAUAAUAUGGCUAAACUCUUAACCCGGCUUAAGCAUUUUGGGUGGUGGCAAGGCCCAAGAGGUUAAGAGAGUUAAGCGUGCUAGGACGGGAGCAGUCCUAGAAUGGGUAACCCCCUGGGAAGUUGGGGUGUCACAACGGCCUUCUAAAUUUUGUACGAAAAACGGUAAAUCGUUCGCUACUUUUCUAAAACGGUAAACACUUCACCAAUUCUCAGUUCUAAGUUUUACUUUAUAUUUGAAAUCAAAUAUCAAAUUCAAAUUUAUAUGUUUAAUUCAAAUUUAAAAUUUUAAUUCAAAUCUUUGAAUUUGAUUUUAGUUUCAAAUUUAUAUUUUGAUUUAAAAUAUCAAUUCAAGUUCACAUUCAGAUUUUAAAUUCAAAAUUUUAGUUUAAAUUUUAAAUUUUAAUUUUGAAUUCAAAUUUUAAAAGUUAAAAUUAAAAUUAAAAUUAAAAUUCAGAUUUUGAAUUCAUAUUUUUAAAUUCAAAGUCAGAUUUGAUUUGGAAUAUCAAUUCAAAUUCACAUUUAGAUUUUGAAUUAAUGAUUUCAAAUUGAAAUUUAGAUUCUAAUUUUUGAAUUCAAAUUUUGAAAUAUAAUUCACAUUUUGAAUAUAAAUUAUAAGUUUAAAUUUAGAUUUUGAAUACAAAUUCAAAUAUCAAAAUCAAAAUCCAAUUUCAAUUUCAAAGUCAAAAUUCAAAAUUUGAAUCUCAAUUCAAUUUCUAAUCCAGUUUUAAAAUUGUAUCUUUCAAUUCAAAUUCAAAAUUCUAAUUUCAAAUUCUUAGUUUAAAAUUAAAAUUUUAAUUUUAUUUGAGAAUUUGAAUCUAAAAAGCGGCGUUUAGGGUUUAGGGUAUCCACUUAAAAGUGGUGAAUUAUUCACCGUUUCACGAAGUUGGUAAACGAUUUAUCACUUUCGUAAGAAAUUUAGAAGGUGGUGAAUAUACUUAUCAAAUUCAUUCACCACAUUCUUAAAUACUGUGAACGAUUCACCGCUUUUAAUAUAUUUAUCCAAUACCAUGCCGAGUUGGCAACCAAAAGAGUAUUUAGCCAAAUAAAUUUUUUAGAAGGUUAUUUAGUUAAUUAUAAAAUUUUAUACAGUUAUUUGGAAAAAAAAAAGGACCAAAGUUAGAAUGUUAAUUUUACACUCUACUAAUCAUAUGUAAAGGUCCACACUAUGUACUAAUAUUGUUUUUUUUUUUUUGGGUACAAAAGCUCAAAAGAAUGUUAUAAAUCCUGGAAUGGUGGGUCUAAGAUAUGGAACCUAAUUAUACAUAGCAUUAUUCUUUCAGUUUUAGUUUGAAAAAUAAAAUUUUGGUUAUUUCAUGAAGGAACUCCCUAGUUAACAAUCGGCUCUCGCAAACUUGAUUUAGAGUAGUUAAAAUUUUUAAUAUUCAAAUCUAAUAAGUUACAGAUAUUAUUUAACUAAUAAUUGAAAUUAAUGGCACAAAAUUGACAAUUUUAAUAAUCAAUAUGAAUCAUUAAUUUGCAUGCUUAACAGUAUAAAAAUUACACUCUUUAAAUGAAAGUUUUACCAUUUGAAAAAUAGUUAUACUAUUUCUCCCCCAACGAGCACCCUUUGAGAUGAAAAUUAUAAUUUUCAAAUGAAAAUUACACUAUUUGGGAGCUAAUUACACUAUUUUCCUUCCAAAUAGUAUAAUUUACGUUUAAAGAAUGUAAUUUUCAUCUUAAAGAGUACAAUUUAUAUCUCAAAAAAUACAAAUUAUAACUAUAAUAGUGCAACAUUUUUCUAAGGGAUAAUUGCCUCUAUACCCCUCAAAACUUCGAAAAUAUCUCAUUUACCCCUACUUUUUUUUUCUUACCAAUAUACCCCUCAUAUAUACCCCCGUUAUUCCAAAAUAUCCCUGCAGUUACCACCUGUUACGUUAACUUGAAUUAAACGUGAGUUAAAUAUCUAUCACAGUUAAAAAAAAAAUAAAAUACUACUUCUGUCCUUAACUUAGGGGCAAAUAAGAAAUAUUGGUGAUGAUAGAAGGGUAUAUUUGAAAAGACCAAAAAGUAAAAUAUUUUUUGUGCCCCUAACUUAAUGGCAAAUAAGAAAAGUCGGUGAUGGUAGAAGAGUAUAUUUGAAAGGGCAAAAUGGUAAUUUCAUAGAGAUAACAGAGUUCAUUAACAGAUUUUAACUUUAGGGGUAUAUUAGAAAUAGGUUGGAACGUAAAAAGGGUAUUUUCCAUAUUAGCCUUUAAGAGGGGUAAAUCAGAAUGUCAGAAACUUUUCAGGGGUAUAUAAGCAAUUGCCCUUUUUUCUAAAAGAGCGUAACUUUAUUUUAAUAGUGCAACUUUAUCUUCUUCUUCCUUCUUCUCUAGUUCUUCUUCCUUACUCUCUAGGUUUUUAUUUUUAGUUAGUUUUUUUCAUUUUAAGCAAACAAAAAUACUUGACCAGAAAUGCUCCCGUGCACUCCCCGCCUUCGAUACUGCCGAGGCCACGCUCGUUGCUACUCUCUAGGACGCCGUGCUCACCGCCGCCCCGCCCUCUUUUCUGAUGUCGUCAUGCUCUCCUCUGUUUCCACCUCGCUCGUCGUUGGCCGUGGAUGGGCGCGGUGGGUCGUGUGUCCCCUCCCUCGCCAGCGAAUAUUUUGGCGCCGAGAAACGUUUCCUUUUCAUUGUCGUCAGCGGCGAUAAGGACAGCGAGUUCGUAGAAAUAGAUUUGGUGGGUGAAAAAUCUGCUGCAAUGGAGGUGGAGGUGAGUCGCAAAGGAUCACGGAGGUGGUGGAGGUUUGGCUAGAAAAAAAAAAAAAAAAAAAAAAAAAAAAGAUGAUCAUGGCGUAGCCUUGGUAGGGUUGGAGGCGAGGAGAGCGGGGGGUGAGCGAGCGCGGUCGAGGGCGCAUGGGGUGGAGGUGAGGAGGGGCGUCCCAAAGGGCGGCGGCGAGCACAGCCUUGGUGGGGUCGGAAGCGAGGAGGGCAUGUGGUGCGCGGACAAGGGCGAGGGCGAGGGCGAGGGCUCUCCGCCUCUCUCUUCCGAGAGGAAAAAAAAAUGAAAGAAAAAAAAAAGAAGAGAGAAAGGAAUAAGUGUAUUUUAGUCCAUUUUUGAAAAAUUCGAUCCGAAUUUGCAAAAUUGAAAAAGACGACUCAAUUUUACAAAAGCUCAAAACUUGUGAAUUUUUUAUGCAAAUUGGCCAUAUUUAAUACUAAACUACCACCUAACUUACAAAGCCAAACAGAAAGCCAACAUAAAAUAUGAAACAGUUCAACCAAUGAAAAACUAUACAAAUCAUGUUAAGGAUCUAAGUUUUCGUCUACACUAUACUUUAAUAUUAUUGUUAUUUAUUAUAUUUUUCUUAGGGUUAUUUGCAUACACGUCCCUGCAAACAUAGUGAAUUGCGAAAAUAUUCCUGCAAAACAGAAAUUCCAUAAGUUGUCCUUACAAAAGUCAUAAGUUAUGCAGAUAUGUAUCUCUGGUUAACAUCCGUUAGUGAACUAUUUAUUUUUUAAUAGUUUUAUUGUGAAAUGACCUUUUUGCCCUCACAAAUAUAUCCCUCCAAAAAUAUUCCUCUUCCCCUUCUCUUUUCCUUCCUCUUUGGGCUGCCGGAGCGGACGACGGUGGCGGCGCGAGGUCGGGUUCGCCAAUGACGAAGAAGAGGGAAGUGAAAGAAAGAGAGGAAGAAGAAGAGGGAAGAAGAAGAAGGAGAGGAAGAGGGAAGAGAAAGAUGAAGAGUGGGAGGGUUCGCCGCCGCGCGCCGUCGCCGCAUCUCCUCCCUCGGCGGCGACGAAGAAGAGGGAAUAGAUAGAGGAAGAGGAAGAAGAAGGGCGAAGAGGAAGAGGGAGAGGAAAAGGAAGAGGGAAAGGGCUCGCGGCCGCCGCCGCAUCUUCUCCCUUGCCGGCGACGAAGAAGAGGGAAAAAGAAGAGGGAGAGGAAGAAAAAGGGGAAGAGGAAGAGGGAGAGGAAAAGAGAAGAGAGAAGAGGAAGAGGGAGAGGGUUCGCUGCCGUCGCCGCCGCCGCCGCCACCGCUGUAUCUCCUCCCUCGCCAGCGACGAAGAAGAUGGAAGAGAAAGAGGAGGAAGAAGAAGAAGGGUAAAACUGUCAAUUCAUAAUUUAAUUAACUAUGGUUAAGUAUUUUAACCGUGGUUAAUAUAAUUUUUCUAACAAACCUUAAUGGUAGGAACAUAUCUGCAUAACUUAGGUCUUUUGCAGGGACAAUUUAUGCAAUUUCCGUUUUGCAGAGAUAUUUUCGCAAUUCACUAUGUUUGUAGGGACGUAUAUGCAAAUAACCUUUUUUUUUUAAUAGCGCCAUUGUAUUAUUAUAUUUUAUUAAUUUCUACAUUAUAUUUUAAAAUUAUUUUCGUUUUUGUAUCCUAUAAUAUUUUAGUUUGGAUUUUUUUUCGUUGAUUCUGUUUUAAUUUAGCUUGUAACCUAAAUCAAAUAAAUUAAAACAUGCAUAUCCCUAGUUCUAAAUAACUGCUGACACCAAAUAGAUUUCCCUAGUGACAACAAGAUUGCGAGCCCAACUCUUAAAGUACACGUGUCCUCGCUUAUGAAGAUCACAUUUAUUGGUGAGUAGCUCCCAGCCCCAAAUUUAUUUCAUGACAAAAACGUUUCUUGAACUUUGGAUUAAUUAAUUCGAUAAUAUCGCAUAAAGCUUCAUUUAGUGACAUAUUAUAAGCACCGACAUUGACCUACGAAAAAACGUUACCACUGUAAAAGGACUAAAACGACCUGUGAAGUUGUUUAAUUAUAUAUGUUAAUUUUAAAGGGCAAAAUUAUCACUCUGCAACAUUAAUAGAAACAGCGUGAUAUUAAAAAAAAAAAGAAAAUCAUAUAUCCACAUGGACACCCACCUUAGCAAGUUAAUUAUCUCCAGUCAUUAAAAUUUAAAAGUUAAACAGAUAAUAUCUUUUUUUACAUUGAGUUUUUCCUUUUUUUUUUCGAACUCUAUCCUACAUGUAUUUUAUCUUGAACUUUCUUAAUUUUACAAUUGUAUUUUAAUUAAGUUUUUAUCACCACAAGUCUAUUAAAUCAUAUAUAGAAAUUGCAACGUGGCCUAGUUUGAUGUUGCUACAUUAAAUGUUGUCUAAUUGCCUCUAAUAUAAGUAAUUUCUGGUAAAUUUAAAAACUUGUUGGUUAUAUAAAUUCACCUAAUAUGAUUAGUAUAUAUGUUAAGAGAGUUGGACUGGGCUACUAUCGAUAGUGAAUGAUAAAUGAUUUGGUUUGGUAUCGAUUUAUUUUCGAUGAUAGAAUUUGCAAAUCAAUGACCGGCAUCAUUGAAUAUGACCCAGACUAUGUAAACUAUUUAGAAAUCAAAUUUCAUACUUUUUUCAAUAUUACUAACCGAAUGAUCAAAAUGUCACAAAAUUUAUAAUUUUUCUUUUUUUUGAGAGAGAUAGGGAGCAUACUACCUGCUUCGUUUAUUUUAUUUAGAAAUAAACUUAGCUGGAAAUGUGAAUCAACUAGGAUUCGAACUUAGGUCUCGGGUACCAACCACAAAGCCCUUUGCUACUUGCUCUAGGGACGGUCGGUACAAAAUUUGUAAUUUGAAUGGCCAAUAAAGUGUGUUUGCUUGUUUAACGGUGUAGAAGAGUUCAAAUCAGCUGAAUUUCUAUCGAAUUUUUUUUAAAACUAUUUAAAGCAAGAUUUAGACUUUAGAUCUUAAAUAAAAAAAAUUAUAUCAACAUUUUUUAAAGAAUAUUUAUUUUCAGCCGUUCAUUUUAUGUUUAUUUCAUAGACAAGAGAACAAUAUCGAAAAAGUAUAAAUUUAAUUUUCAGAUAGUUUAAAUUAUUCUAGAUCGUGGUCAACGGAGUCGAUCGGCGAUUUGAGAGCUCUAUCGUCGAAAAUAAAUCAGUAGUAAAUUGAUAUGCUUACUACCGAUAAUAUUUUAGUAGAACUCAUAUUAAGAAUUAAACUAAAAGACAACCCCUAACAUAAGUGGCAAAAGAUUUGGUGGCUGGUACCCGAGAUUCCAAAUUUGAAGUCUAAUUGCUUCACAUUUCCAGCUAAGUUUAUUUCUAAAAAAAUAAACGAAACGGAUAUCAUGCCAUCUUUUUCUAAAAAAAAAGAAUUAACCAUAAAAAGUUAA